CCGAGGAGGAGGUGGAAGUUGAGGAAGAAGCCGGAGAUCUCCAGCGGUGUUUUCUCAUUCAUUCUGCCCAGCUUUAAGUUCAUUUUCCCGGCAGUGAACCGAAGGAAACACCGGUCGUUUGGAAGAGACCCAUAGCGGAUACAGCGGUAGCUGGGUCUCGCUCUGGCUGUGACUGAGUACGAGAACGAGAGUGGGCGCGGCUCACCGAGGACGCGCUCGUGAAUUAUAAUGAGCAACGUCGGCGCAACGUAACACCGACCUGCUUUUUCUAUUGGCCUGGUUUACUCGUUCCUUUAUUUUAAACCUUUACAGAAUGCAAACGACGUAACGGUUUGUUUUCACAUGUACAACAUAAGACGAACAUAAUAUGGACCUUAACUGACACAAAAAACCCCAAAAAUUACAUUUUUAUGGCAGGUCCCCUUUAAAAAAAGAACAAACUAUCCAUUUGAGAGGGAUCUCUAAAUCUAAGCAGUAUCACCUCUGUAGGAGAACUUGAAAGAUAUUUUUAACAAAACUUGACUUAUUUGAUUUAUUCUACUUGCUACCUUCCCUUCCCUUGAAUUUCCCUUCGGAAAGUAAAGUUGUUGUUGUUCUUCUUGUUCUUCUUCUGCUUCUUCCCUUAAUUUUCAAACUGCAUGGAAAGCUAAGGCUGAGUUGUGUUUUUAUACAAAAUCACAUACAGAAAUAGUUUUGUCAACUCGCCUUGGCCUAUGCAUCAUUUAUCUCUAGCAGAUCAUCUUUUUGGAAGAUUAAUAUGUGCAUCCAGUCCGUCUUCUCUUUUAGCUAGUCCCAGUUCUUCUGUGUCAUCAGUAAAGACUUUAGAGCAACCUCCUCCUUCCUUUUUUUUUGGCCUAUUUUCCCUCCUAAACUAUUCAGACCUUUCUCCCAUUUUAUUUCCUGAUGUCUUUCCUUAUCAAAAAUCUCCCCAAGAUGCUUCAGAUAUCUUCCUUCCAUGCACAUUAGAUUUAUUUUCAAGGAAAGCAAAUUUGUGUCUUGCUUCCUCUCUUUUCACCUUAAGGAGUCUGUCAUGUCAGGAUAGUCCAGACAUACAGCUCUGUCCCCAGGGUGCAGUGUCAAGAGUGGAAACCCAGGGCCUGGACUUAAACUGCAUACUCAUUUUAUGGUAGCUGUAAGAAGAAAGAAAAAAACACAGCCAGGAUUACCAGUAAUUUGAGAAGUUUUGCUUUUGGACUGCAUUGUGCUUUACUAUCUUUAAUGCUUCAUAAACAUUCAGUGCAUUUACACAGUUGAGUCAAGGUACAGUCAUAGCUCAGUCAGGCAAUUUAACUGGACUACUGUCUUUAUUCCAGUUUACAUGCACUGGGCAAGGAUCAAAUUACUGAUAGAAGCAUGUCUACCUCUUCUACAGUAGGUGGUGAUGAGCUCAUCACUAUCGGGUGAUCUUCAGGUAUUUUGUAUCAAAACAGAUGGCAACAUGCUAGCAAGAGGCUAACAGGGCAUUACUUUCACCACUCAUUGCACACAUUUUUCAACCCUUAACACAGUGUAUCAUAAAAAAAAAAACACACUGUGCGGACGAUGGGUUGGGUUAAUAUGCAGUCAGAAAAAAUAAAACAAGGAGUCACAAAAAAAAAACAAAAAAAAAAAACACACCAUCAUUUGGCAUUCAUUUUGGCUGGUGUCUUAAUAAAGGGGCCAAGCUGAGCAAAAACAAAGGUUUUGUUUAUUGGCUUCUGGAAGUAAAUAAGUCCAGUUACAUCUGGAUGAUAGUCAAUGUAGUUUGCAUAUCUAAAACAAUUACUGAAGCCUUAAGGUGUAAGAUCACUUUUUUUAAAUGCUCUGAUUAAUUGAUUGAUUGAUUGAUUGAUUGAUUGAUUGAUUGAUUGAUUGAAACUGUUGUUUUCUAAAGUACCCCAAAACCAAACCAACUCCAAAGGACUUACGAGACUUUCUCCCUUCACUCAUACAGGCAGCCAUGUCAUUGUGUGUGUUUGGCUCUGCUGCAAGUGAACAAGGAGUGAAGAGAAUAAUGGGAGGCCAGGUGGAGAGGUGGAGGAGGUUACAAAAGUGAAAAUCUAGACUUUCAAUUUUGCAAAUCAUACAGAACUAUAAAUGGAAAUUAGUUAAUUUAACUCUUUACCCAGCAUUGAUAAAAUAUUCUGUCAAUUCGUGUUUUCACUGUAAUAUGGGCGGCGCUGUUUUGUACUUUGUGAAUUAUUGCACUCCUUUGAUCCCAUUAACAAGUGGGAGUUAACAGUAAAGGAGAGGAGAGAGGUACAGGUGUAGAUGAGAGAAGGGGAAAUCUUGCUGAUGCAGGAUGCAGGAAAGCCUCUUGAGAGGUGGACAAUCAGAGGAGAGUAGGCUCAUAGAGGGCGGCUUCAAGAGAAAGCCGCCAAAACAAAGCAUUUUAGAUGGAAGCUGAAAAAUGAUAUUUUAAUACACCAGAGGGAAAAACACGAGUCUUUGUGGAUCUAAAAAUCAUUUAAAGCUAUUACAGAGGUAUCAGAGUGGAAUUCCCCAAAAAGCCACUCUAUAGCCACAAAUAAUACUCAGAACAGCACCCAACUUCAUCAAUAGUACAUGUAGGGUCGCAGCCACAGUACUAGCCACCAAACAUCUUUUUUACUUUGCCUUAUUUCUUUUGCAAAAAGACUAAACACAACUCACCUCUCUCAUUCAGCAGCCCCUUAUUUGUAACGUGACUUCAGGCUGCGGGGUGAAGCAGCAAAAGAAACAACAUUUGAUCUAUAUUCUGAGCUGCGAUUGCGUGGCAUCACUGCUCAGAAUAUUGGCCGUCCCAUCUUUUCACUUCACAGACUUAUGGUGGCUUCAUGGCGUGAACGGUGGACACUAGCCAGGAAGAGUAAAAGACUGACAUAAUUUUGACAUGAAUUUGAUGUUUAGGAUGUCAGUUGAUAAUUUGUGUUUCUGCAUGACCAAAAAAAAUCUGAAUACAGAUUAUUUGACUGUAAAAGGUUUUCCAGAAUACCUUGCUACUUUGAUGACACCCUGUGACCCUGGGUCAUCCUGGGUCACCCUUUGAUACCCAUGUAUCGAUUUGAAUUUAUAAUAAAUGUUUUAAGAUUAAUAGUUGACAAUAAUCUCUAAAUUAUGACAUUUAUGCACACCUUAAAAGGGGCACCAUCCACUUUUAAUGGUAGGAAAAUAAAGAAAAACAAAAGUUUAAUUCAGAAAUCAAACAUUCAGUGAAUCUUAAAUUAAUCAAUCUCAUAUCUCAAGCCGAAAUUCUCAUUUCAGGGACUCAACUUCUGGAAGAACACUAACAGACAAGAACUUAGAAAAAUAAAUGAAUUGUUUAUUACAGGAUAAAUGAUUGUACAACAUCCAUGCAAUAAAUGAGGAUAAGAUGAGGAUAGAUAAUGACAGAUGAAUGAAAGAUUCUCAGUCAGGCUAGGACUACGAAAGUUAAUGAUAGUUAGUGAAUAUGCUCUAACAUAUUAACCUACAUUAACUUUGAUGAAAAGAUAAAUUUGGAUAUGGUUAUCUGAAUUAUGAAGCAUGAGACAUCAUCAGCCCUGUUUGGAGCUCUGGAGGUUUGGACACUUAAGUGAGGCUGGUCCUUGGAGAGGAUGGAGCAGGUCCCGAAGGUCCAGGCUACCGGUGUAGUAUCUGGGCUGUCCGCGAUGUGUAGAUGCAGAAGGAGGCUUCAUGACACUGGCUUGCUUGUAUAAGAGGAGUUUAUUAUAAAGACAAUACCAGUAUCAGAACAGCACUGCAGUUGCUGGGAGAGGACUGCCAAUGAUGUCCAGCUCUCUCAAACCAGAGUUUGUGACCCUGUUAUAUACGGUCAAGGAUGUAAGUCCUCCUAGAUUCUCGUUGUCCCCAAGCUAUCUUUCAUUACCAUCUAGUUUUUUAUUUAACCUACAAUUGUGACCUGUGUCCUGUGACCUGUGACCUGCAAACGUGCAACUCCCAAGAUAUCCAGACCUAGGUACCAUUAAAGAGACACAAGAAAAACACUUGGGCCCCGGUGGGGCACUGGCGGGCCCGAGCCGUGUCGCGCCGCCCCCAGCGCGACCGCCUACCCCUCCCGAUCGCGUCACACUCAAGGUCCAAAGAUGGUGUGCGCACUUGUCUGUGGUCAUUUACCAUUAUAAUGAAUGGGAGGCGCAUUUUCUACCAAAACGCUCGCUGCAGACAAACUCCAUGUCCUUUUUGAAAAAAGUCUGGACCAUGAGUGAGGGGGGGGGGGGGGCGCUCUUUUGGGGAGAAAAAAUUCCUUCACAAAUGUGUUGAUGGCUGGACAUUGCAUCAUCGUAGAAAACUUGGAGGCCAGUGAGGACAAAAAUAAAAAGUUAUAAGACUUUGAAAUAUGUGGAUUUUAGGGUUAUCUUUGGUGCCCCCUAGAACCUAAACCGUGGGGUGCAAUGUCAUGAUUUGAAUAACUUUCAAUGGCCAUGGGGUGUAGAUUGGCCUGAGCAAAUGUGGUGCCAGUGGAACGAAAGCCUUCGGAGGAGUUAGCGAAAUUCCAAUGUGUGCGGAUCGGCAAAAAAUGCGAAAUAACCCUUUAACCGUACAUUUGACAGAUACGCCCGCACUGACUUUUUUGUAGAUCUUAUUGAGAUACAUAUGUGUGUCAAUUUUUGUGUCAAUAUGACAAAGCGUACAGGCGUGACAGUCAAUAGUGUGAAUUUCCACCUUAGGGGGCGCUAUGGAGCCAUUUUGCAUUUUAUUGUUUGGGUGACUUCAGAAUAUCGAAUUUUUCACCAGGCCCGGUCGUCCUGCCAAAUUUCAUGAGUUUUCGCCAGUGGGAAGUGGGCCAUUAUCCAGUUCAAAGGGGAGGAAAAAGAAGAAACUAGGGCCCCGUUGGGGCACUGGCGGGCCGGAGCUGUGUCGCGCCGCCCCCAACACGACCGCCUCUCCCUCCUGAUCGCGUCACACUCAAGGUCCAAAGAUGGUGUGCGCACUUGUCUGUGGUCAUUUACCAUUAUAAUGAAUGUGGGGCGCAGUUUCUACCAAAACGCUCGCUGCAGACAAACUACAUGUCCUAUUCGAAAAAAGUCUGGACUAUGAGUGAGGGCACAAACACAGCAAGGAUAUAUCCAAAUGGCAAGUUGCUCCUCCUUUCGGUUUUGCCGAGAGGGCGAUGUGUUUGAGCCAUUGAGCGAUGGUCAGGAAAAACUUGACUUUUUCUCCUGCCAUGGGGGGGCACUCUUUUAGGGAGUAACAAUUCCUUCACAAAUGUGUUGAUGGCUAGACAUUGCAUCAUCCUAGAAAACUUGGAAGCCAGUGAGGACAAAAAUGAAAAGUUAUAAGACUUUUAAGAAUGUGGAUUUUUGGGUUAUCUUUGGCGCCCCCUAGAACAUAAACCGUGGGGUGCAGCGUCAUGAUUUGUACAACUUUUAAUGGCCAUGGGGUGUAGAUUGGCCUGAGCAAAUUUGGUGCCGGUGGAACAAAAGCUUUAGGAGGAGUUAGGCACAUUCCAAUGUGUGCGAAUCGACCAAAAAUGCGUAAUAGCCCUUUAACCGUACAUUUUACAGAUACGCGCGCAUAGACUUUUUUGUAGAUCUUAUUGAGAUACAUGUGUGUGUCAAUUUUUGUGUCAUUUUGCCAAAGCGUACAGGCGUGACACUCAACAAUGUGUAUUUUCACCUUAGGAGACAAGAAAAAAUGGACCUUUUUCUCCUGCCAUGGGGGGCGCUCUUUUGGGGAGUAAAAAUUCCUUCACAAAUGUGUUGAUGGCUGGACAUUGCAUCAUCCUAGAAAACUUGGAGGCCAGUGAGGACAAAAAUAAAAAGUUAUAAGACUUUGAAAUAUGUGGAUUUUAGGGUUAUCUUUGGCGCCCCCUAGAACCUAAACCGUGGGGUGCAGCAUCAUGAUUUGAAUAACUUUUAAUGGCCAUGGGGUGUAAUUUGGCCCGAGCAAAUGUGGUGCCGGUGGAACGCCAGCCUUCGGAGGAGUUAGCGAAAUUCCAAUGUGUGCGUAUCGGCAAAAAAUGCGGAAUAACCCUUUAACCUUACAUUUGACAGAUACGCGCGUGUAGACUUUUUUGUAGAUCUUAUUGAGAUACAUGUGUGUGUCAAUUUUUGUGUCAUUUUGCCAAAGCGUACAGGUGUGACACUCAACAAUGUGUGUUUUCACCUUAGGGGACAAGAAAAAAUGGACUUUUUCUCCUGCCAUGGGGGGCGCUCUUUUGGGGAGUAAAAAUUCCUUCACAAAUGUGUUGAUGGCUGGACAUUGCAUCAUCCUAGAAAACUUGGAAGCCAGUGAGGACAAAAAUAAAAAGUUAUAAGACUUUUAAAUAUGUGGAUUUUUGGGUUAUCUUUGGCGCCCCCUAGAACAUAAACCGUGGGGUGCAGCGUCAUGAUUUGUACAACUUUUAAUGGCCAUGGGGUGUAGAUUGGCCUGAGCAAAUUUGGUGCCGGUGGAACAAAAGCUUUAGGAGGAGUUAGGCACAUUCCAAUGUGUGCGAAUCGACCAAAAAUGCGUAAUAGCCCUUUAACCGUACAUUUUACAGAUACGCGCGCAUAGACUUUUUUGUAGAUCUUAUUGAGAUACAUGUGUGUGUCAAUUUUUGUGUCAUUUUGCCAAAGCGUACAGGCGUGACACUCAACAAUGUGUAUUUUCACCUUAGGAGACAAGAAAAAAUGGACCUUUUUCUCCUGCCAUGGGGGGCGCUCUUUUGGGGAGUAAAAAUUCCUUCACAAAUGUGUUGAUGGCUGGACAUUGCAUCAUCCUAGAAAACUUGGAGGCCAGUGAGGACAAAAAUAAAAAGUUAUAAGACUUUGAAAUAUGUGGAUUUUAGGGUUAUCUUUGGCGCCCCCUAGAACCUAAACCGUGGGGUGCAGCAUCAUGAUUUGAAUAACUUUUAAUGGCCAUGGGGUGUAAUUUGGCCCGAGCAAAUGUGGUGCCGGUGGAACGCCAGCCUUCGGAGGAGUUAGCGAAAUUCCAAUGUGUGCGUAUCGGCAAAAAAUGCGGAAUAACCCUUUAACCUUACAUUUGACAGAUACGCGCGCGUAGACUUUUUUGUAGAUCUUAUUGAGAUACAUGUGUGUGUCAAUUUUUGUGUCAUUUUGCCAAAGCGUACAGGUGUGACACUCAACAAUGUGUGUUUUCACCUUAGGGGACAAGAAAAAAUGGACUUUUUCUCCUGCCAUGGGGGGGCGCUCUUUUGGGGAGUAAAAAUUCCUUCACAAAUGUGUUGAUGGCUGGACAUUGCAUCAUCCUAGAAAAACUUGGAAGCCAGUGAGGACAAAAAUAAAAAGUUAUAAGACUUUUAAAUAUGUGGAUUUGAGGGUUAUUUUUGGCGCCCCCUAGAACCUAAACCGUGGGGUGCAGCGUCAUGAUUUGAAUAACUUUUAAUGGCCAUGGGGUGUAGAUUGGCCUGAGCAAAUGUGGUGCCGGUGGAACGAAAGCCUUCAGAGGAGUUAGCGAAAUUCCAAUGUGUGCGGAUCGGGAAAAAAUGUGAAAUAACCCUUUAACCGUACAUUUGACAAAUACGCCCGCACUGACUUUUUUGUAGAUCUUAUUGAGAUACAUAUGUGUGUCAAUUUUUGUGUCAAUAUGACAAAGCGUACAGGCGUGACAGUCAAUAGUGUGAAUUUACACCUUAGGGGGCGCUAUGGAGCCAUUUUGCAUUUUAUUGUUCGGGCGACUUCAGUAUAUCGAAUUUUUCACCAGGCCCGGUCGUCCUGCCAAAUUUCAUGAGUUUUCGCCAGUGGGAAGUGGGCCAUUUUCCAGUUCAAAGGGGAGGAAAAAGAAGAAAGAAGAAACAAAGAAAAACCACUACAGGAACAACAGGGCUCUACGCCCGGCUGCUAUGCAGCUGGCUCGGGCCCUAACUAGGGCCCCGUUGGGGCACUGGCGGGCCCGAGCUGUGUCGCGCCGCCCCCAGCAAGACCGCCUCCCUGUCCCAUUCACGUCCUCAGGCUGUCGCCCUCUGUGGUGACGCCCAUCACUGCAAAGACCCUUUUCCUUCAUCGGUGUUUGCUGUUCUUCUUGCCAGUGCGUGUUGCUUCCACUUAUACUUGCCACAGCCAGCCCCCUAGAACGUAAACCGUGGGGUGCAGCGUCAUGAUUUUUACAACUUUGAAUGGCCAUGGAGUGUAGAUUGGCCUGAGCAAAUUUGGUGUCAGUGGGACGAAAGCCUUAGGAGGACUUAGCGAAAUUCCAAUGUGUGCAAAUCGCCAAAAAAUGCAAAAUAGCCCUUUAACUGUACAUUUUACACUAACGUGCCCAUUGACUUUUUCAUAGAUCUUAUGGAGAUACACGUGAUUGUCAAAUUUUUUGUCAAUAUGACAAAGCGUAAAGGCGUGACACUCAACAACGUGUAUUUUCACCUUUCGGGAUAAGAAAAAAUGGACUUUUUUCUCCUGCCAUGGGGGGGCGCUCUUUUUGGGGAGUAAAAAUUUCUUCACAAAUGUGUUGAUGGCUGGACAUUGCAUCAUCCUAAAAAACUUGGAGGCCAGUAUGGAAAAAAAUAAAAAGUUAUAAGACUUUUAAGAAUGUGGAUUUUUGGGUUAUAUUUGGUGCCCCCUUGAACCCAAACCGUGGGGUGCAGCAAGAUGAUUUGUACAACUUUUAAUGGCCAUGGGGUGUAGAUUGGCCUGAGCAAAUUUGGUGCCGGUGGAAAGAUAGCCUUCGGAGGAGUUAGCGAAAUUCCAAUGUGUGCGGAUCGGCAAAAAAUGCAAAAUAGCCCUUUAACCGUACAUUUGACAGAUACAUGCCCUCGACUUUUUCGUAGAUCUUAUUGAGAUACACGUGAUUGUCAAAUUUUGUGUCAAUAUGACAAAGCAUAUAGGCGUGACACUCGACAAUGUGUAUUUUCACCUUAGGAGACAAGAAAAAAUGGACCUUUUUCUCCUGCCAUUGGGGGGCGCUCUUUUGGGGAGUAAAAAUUCCUUAACAAAUGUGUUGAUGGCUGGACAUUGCAUCAUCCUAGAAAACUUGGAGGCCAGUGAGGACAAAAGUAAAAAGUUAUAAGACUUUUAAGAAUGUGGAUUUUUGGGUUAUCUUUGGCGCCCCCUAGAACGUAAACCGUGGGGUGCAGCGUCAUGAUUUGUACAACUUUUAAUGGCCAUGGGGGGUAGAUUGGCCUGCGCAAAUGUGGUGCCGGUCGAACGAAAGCCUUCGGAGGAGUAAGCGAAAUUCCAAUGUGUGCAGAUCUGCAAAAAAUGCAAAAUAACCCAUUAACCGUACAUUUGACAGAUACGCCCGCACUGACUUUUUUGUAGAUCUUAUUGAGAUACAUGUUUGUGUCAAUUUUUGUGUCAAUAUGACAAAGCGUACAGCCGUCAUGUGAAUUUUCACCUUAGGGGGCGCUAUGGAGCCAUUUUGAAUUUUAUUGUUUGGGCGACUUCAGAAUAUCGAAUUUUUCACCAGGCCCGGUCGUCCUGCCAAAUUUCCUGAGUUUUCGCCAGUGGGAAGUGGGCCAUUUUCCAGUUUAAAGCUCAGGAAAAAAAAGAAGAAACUAGGGCCCCGUUGGGGCACUGGCGGGCCGGAGCUGUGUCGCGCCGCCCCCAACACGACCGCCUCUCCCUCCUGAUCGCGUCACACUCUAGGUCCAAAGAUGGAGUGCGCACUUCUCUGUGGUCAUUUCCCAUUAUAAUGAAUGGGAGGCGCAGUUUCUACCAAAACACUCACUGCAGACAAACUACAUGUCCUAUUUGAAAAAAGUCUGGACCAUGAGUGAGGGCACAAACACAGCUAGGAUAUAUCCAAAUGGCAAGUUGCUCCUCCUUUCGCUUUUGCCGAGAGAGCGAUGCGAUUGAGCCAUUGAGCGAUGGGCAGGAAAAACUUGACUUUUUCUCCUGCCAUGGGGGGAGGGGGGGGGGAUGUGGAUUCUUUUAAGAAUGUGGAUAUUUGGGUCAUCUUUGGCACCCCCUAGAACGUAAACCGUGGGGUGCAGCGUCAUGAUUUUUACAACUUUGAAUGGCCAUGGGGUGUAGAUUGGCCUGAGCAAAUUUGGUGUCGGUGGGACGAAAGCCUUAGGAGGAGUUAGCCACAUUCCAAUGUGUGCGAAUCGGCAAAAAAUGCAAAAUAGCCCUUUAACCGUACAUUUUACAGAUAUUUGCGCAUGACUUUUUCAUAGAUCUUAUUGAGAUACACGUGAUUGUCAAAUUUUGUGUCAUUUUGACAAAGCGUACAGGCGUGACACUCAACAAUGUGUAUUUUCACCUUAUGGGACAAGAAAAAAUGGACUUUUUUCUCCUGCCAUGGGGGGCGCUCUUUUGGGGAGUAAAAAUUCCUUCACAAAUGUGUUGAUGGCUGGACAUUGCAUCAUCCUAGAAAACUUGGAGGCCAGUGAGGACAAAAAUAAAAAGUUAUAAGACUUUUAAGAAUGUGGAUUUUUGGGUUAUCUUUGGCGCCCCCUAGAACCUAAACCGUGGGGUGCAGCGUCAUGAUUUGUACAACUUUUAAUGGCCAUGGGGUGUAGACUGGCCUGAGCAAAUUUGGUGCCGGUGGAACGAAAGCCUUCGGAGGAGUUAGCGAAAUUCCAAUGUGUGCGGAUCGGCAAAAAAUGCGAAAUAGCCCUUUAACCGUACAUUAUACAGAUACGCGCUCUUUGACUUUUUCGUAGAUCUUAUUGAGAUACACGUGUGUGUCAAAUUUUGUGUCAAUAUGACAAAGCGUUCAGGCAUGACACUCAACAAUGUGUAUUUUCACCUUAGGGGACAAGAAAAAAUGGACUUUUUUCUCCUGCCAUGGGGGGCGCUCUUUUGGGGAGUAAAAAUUUCUUCACAAAUGUGUUGAUGGCUGGACAUUGCAUCAUCCUAGAAAACUUGGAGGCCAGUGAGGACAAAAAUAAAAAGUUAUAAAAAUUUUAAGACUGUGGAUUUUUGGGUUAUCUUUGGCGCCCCCUAGAAUGUAAACCGUGGAGUGCAGCGUAAUGAUGUGUACAACUUUUAAUGGCCAUGGGGUGUAGAUUGUCCUGAGCCAAUUUGUUGCCGGUGGAACGAAAGCCUUCGGAGGAGUUAGCGAAAUUCCAAUGUGUGCGGAUCGGCAAAAAAUGCGAAAUAGCCCUUUAACCGUACAUUUGACAGAUACGCCCGCACUGACUUUUUUGUAGAUCUUAUUGAGAUACACAUGUGUGUCAAAUUUUGUGUCAUUUUGACAAAGCCUACAGGCGUCAGGUGAGUUUUCACCAUAGGGGGCCCUAUGGAGCCAUUUUUCAUUUUUUUGUUUGGGCGACUUCAGAAUAUCGAAUUUUUCACCAGGCCCGGUCGUCCUGCCAAAUUUCCUGAGUUUUCGCCAGUGGGAAGUGGGCCAUUUUCCAGUUUAAAGCGGAGGAAAAAUAACGAAACUAGGGCCCCGGUGGGGCACUGUCGGGCCCGAGCCGCGUCGCGCCGCCCCCAGCGCGACGGUGUUGCAGGGAGAGCGAUGCGAUUGAGCCAUUGAGCGAUGGGCAGGGUUAACUUGACUUUUUCUCCUGCCUUGGGGGAGGGGGGGGAUGUGGAUUCUUUUAAGAAUGUGGAUAUUUGGGUCAUCUUUGGCGCCCCCUAGAACGUAAACCGUGGGGUGCAGCGUCAUGAUUUUUACAACUUUGAAUGGCCAUGGGAUGUAGAUCGGCUUGAGCAAAUUUGGUGUCGGUGGGACGAAAGCCUUAGGAGGAGUUAGCCACAUUCCAAUGUGUGCGAAUCGGCAAAAAAUGCAAAAUAGCCCUUUAACCGUACAUUUUACAGAUACGUGCCCAUUGACUUUUUCGUAGAUCUUAUUGAGAUACACGUGUGUGUCAAAUUUUGUGUCAUUUUGACAAAGCGUAUAGGCGUGACAGUCAACAAUGUGUUUUUUCACCUUAGGGGACAAGAAAAAAUUGACUUUUUUCUCCUGUCAUGGGGGGGCGCUCUUUUCGGGAGUAAAAAUUCCUUUACAAAUGUGUUGAUGGCUGGACAUUGCAUCAUCCUAGAAAACUUGGAGGCCAGUGAGGACAAAAAUAAAAAGUAAUAAGACUUUCAAGAAUGUGGAUUUGUGGGUUAUCUUUGGCGCCCCCUAGAACCUCAACCGUGGGGUGCAGCGUCAUGAUUUGUACAACUUUCAAUUGCCAUGGGGUGUAGAUUGGCCUGAGCAAAUGUGGUGCCGGUGGAAAAAAAGCCUUCGGAGGAGUUAGCGAAAUUCCAAUGUGUGCGGAUCGGCAAAAAAAUGCAAAAUAACCCUUUAACCGUACAUUUGACAGAUACGCCCGCACUGACUUUUUUGUAGAUCUUAUUGAGAUACAUGUGUGUGUCAAUUUUUGUGUCAAUAUGACAAAGCGUACAGGCGUGACAGUGAAUAGUGUAAAUUUUCACCUUAGGGGGCCCUAUGGAGCCAUUUUGCAUUUUAUUGUUUGGGCGACUUCAGAAUAUCGAAUUUUUCACCAGGCCCGGUCGUCCUGCCAAAUUUCAUGAGUUUUCGCCAGUGGGAAGUGGGCCAUUUUCCAGUUUAAAGCGGAGGAAAAAUAAUAAUAAUAACUAGGGCCCCGGUGGGGCACUGUCGGCCGUCCCCGGCGCGACCGCCUCCCCCUCCCGAUCGCGUCACACUCAAGGUCCAAAGAUGGUGUGCGCACUUGUCUGUGGUCAUUUCCCAUUAUAAUGAAUGGGAGGCGCAGUUUCUACCAAAACACUCGCUGCAGACAAACUACAUGUCCUAUUUGAAAAAAGUCUGGACCAUGAGUGAGGGCACAAACACAGCUAGGAUAUAUCCAAACGGCAAGUUGCUCCUUGUUACAGUGUUGCCGGGAGAGCGAUGCGAUUGAGCCAUUGAGUGAUGGGCAGGAAAAACUUGACUGUUUCUCCUGCCAUGGGGGAUGGGGGAUGGGGGGGGGGGGGAGAUACACGUGAUUGUCAAAUUUUUUGUCAAUAUGACAAAGCGUUUAGGCGUGACACUCAACAAUGUGUAUUUUCAUGUUAGGGGACAAGAAAAACUUGACUUUUUUCUCCUGCCAUGGGGGGGCGCUCUUUUGGGGAGUAAAAAUUCCUUCACAAAUGUGUUGAUGGCUUGACAUGGCAUCAUCCUAGAAAACUUGGAGGCCAGUGAGGACAAAAAUAAAAAGUUAGAAGACUUUUAAGAAUGUGGAUUUUUGGGUUAUCUUUGGCGCCCCCUAGAACGUAAACCGUGGGGUGCAGCGUCAUGAUUUGUACAACUUUUAAUGGCCAUGGGGUGUAGAUUGGCCUGAGCAAAUGUGGUGCCGGUGGAAGGAAAGCCUUCGGAGGAGUUAGCGAAAUUCCAAUGUGUGCGGAUCGGCAAAAAAUGCGAAUUAGCCCUUUAACAGUACAUUUGACAGAUACGCUCGCACUGACUUUUUUGUAGAUCUUAUUGAGAUACACAUGUGUGUCAAAUUUUGUGUCAUUUUGACAAAGUGUACAGGCUUCAGGUGAGUUUUCCCCAUAGGGGGCGCUAUGCAGCCAUUUUUCAUUUUUUUGUUUGGGCGACUUCAGAAUAUCAAAUUUUUCACCAGGCCCGGUCGUCCUGCCAAAUUUCCUGAGUUUUCGCCAGUGGGAAGUGGGCCAUUUUCCAGUUUAAAGCGGAGGAAAAAUAACGAAAGAAGAAUCCAUCAGGAACAAGAGGGCUCUCGCAGCUGCUUAGCAGCUACGCUCGGGCCCUAAUAACAAACUAGGACCCCGUUGGGGCACUGGCGGGCCCGAGCUGUGUCGCGUCCCCCCCCCCAACGCGCUGCCUCCCCGUCCCAUUUGUGUCCUCUGGCCAUCGCCCUCUCUGGUAACGCCCAUCACUGCAAAGACCAUUUUCCUUCAUCUGCGUUUGCUGUUCUUCCUGCCAGUGCGUGUUGCUUUCACUUACACUUGCCACAGCCAGCCUCAUGAGUGCCUAGCCUAUUGGAUAUCACUGUCACCUACACAGGACAGUCAUUACCUUUCUAUUAAUACUUUGUUUUUUAAUUUCACAUUAAUUUCCAUAUUGUAUAAACAACUGGAAAAAACUUGAGCCCCUGCCCCUGUAUAAUCAUGUGCACGUCUCUGUUCUAGCUCUAAGGUGAAUCUUCACUGCUCAUGUUCUCCUCAGAAGCAGUCACCUCACUCCCCUCAGGUUACUGUACACAUGCACCAACUGCCUGCUUCAGGUUUGGAUGGAGCUUCAUGGUUGUCUUUUGGAGAAAUGACCAGUCAAGUUGUGUUUGAAAUUUGAUUUUUUUCAGGGGCAAAAGGAGCCUCUGCAUUCUUGUCAAAUAUGUAAAUAGCAUGUUUUUGCAGGUGCUAAAAACCAGACUCUGAGUGUAUGUGUGUGCGUGUGUGUGUGUCUGUGUGUGUGUGUGUGUGUGCGUUCAAGUCACAUGACAUAUUUAACCGGAUGUAGCUGCAAGACGGAGCCUCGUUGACUCUCCGUUUCAACUUAUCUCAAAAGUGAGGACCUCAACCUAUAUACCAGUUUUUAAAUUGUGUUGAUAGGCCAAAUAAAACCAGAGUUAUGAUAAAUUAUGUCCGCGAUACUUGUUUUCUGCUUAUUUUGAUCACGUUCGGCGCUCGAUCGCGCUGUAUGAGACAGGAAAACAUAGCAUGCAGACAUUAGCGACAGGUCUUACAGGCGGAAAAGGCUUGCCAAAAGAAAAAAAAAAACACACCACAACAUCUCUCCUAUUGGUGGAAAACUUCACCACAACAACCAAUCCAAAAUUAUAUGGUGACUGAUUGACAAGGGGCGGGCGCUUACGUUCUUCCUGCAAUAUGAGAAGGGAGGGAGGGACUCUCAGCAGGGAUGCAGUCUGGGACACGUAGUUGCAAACCUAGCGACUUUGUUGUUAGAUUCAAUGACUUUUCAGACCCCCUAACGACUUUUUUUUAGAAAGAAAGUGACUUUUAUUGACUUCUUCUGGAGUUUAGAGACUCUGACGUGAAGCAGGCUUUCCUUACUGAGGAGUUAGCAACGCUGCUAAGGGUGCAGAGCCACACAUGCGCUCCGAGCUCUGCAUGGGAGACUGAAGCUGACAGAGCUGCAGCAGUUAGCAGGUUUCACCCUCAGAGACCACCAGGGGUUCAUGUUGAGGCAUUUUCAGUUUUUUUUUUUUUUUUGCCAUAGACACUGUCAGCACAAUCUGCAGUUACACUAACAAAAAUGCUGCAAAAAACAAAGAAUUAUGGAAAAAUUACACAUGGACUGACAUAGAGGAGGAUCUACACAAGUUUUUUACAUCAUGUUUUACAUCAUGCAUCAUUUACAUCAUGUUUUUUUGUAGUGGCAUAAAUAAAAAGUGACAUUUGUGAGACUAUACAGUGUUUUGUAAAUAAUUUUACAAAGAACACCUGGGCCAUUGCCUGCAUUUUGAUGUAAAUAGAGGUAAAUUACUAUGUUCUUUGUUAAAAAUUUGCAUAUGUUUUGAAGUUUACAAUUUUUAUUUGAAGUUUAAGUUUUAAAAACAGUUCAUCACACAUAUUUGUGGUUUUCACAGUAAAAACGUUACUUUUUUCCACUCGGAUUUUAUGUUUUGUGUGUGAAUUUGGGUCCAAUGUGUAAAUAUAGUAUGUCAAAAUGAUAAAAUAACUGUAAAUUGACACAGGUGAGGUUGUGCUGAAAAAAAUGAUACCAGGCAAGGCAAGGUAAAAAUUUUGUAAGAGGAAAUAUAAAGGUAAAAUCUAAAGUAGUCAAAAACGGCCAAUAGUGACUCACAGACUCCACAGACAAGUCCCUUUGGCGCCACUCAGUGGGCAAAACUACUUUGUCUACUGUAAUGUAUAUUUGGGUCAUCUUUGGCGCCCCCUAAAACGUAAACCGUGGGGUGCAGCGUCAUGAUUUUUACAACUGUGAAUGGCCAUGGAGUGUAGAUUGGCCUGAGCAAAUUUGGUGUCAGUGGGACGAAAGCCUUAGGAGGAGUAAGCCACAUUCCAAUGUGUGCGAAUCGGCAAAAAAUGCAAAAUAGCCCUUUUACCGUACAUUAUACAGAUACGCGCUCUUUGACUUUUUCAUAGAUCUAAUUGAGAUACACAUGAUUGUCAAUUUUUGUGUCAUUUUGCCAAAGCGUACAGGCGUGACAGUCAACAAUGUGUAUUUUCACCUUAGGGGACAAGAAAAAAUGGACUUUUUUCUCCUGCCAUGGGGGGGCGCUCUUUUAGGGAGUAAAAAUUCCUUCACAAAUGUGUUGAUGGCUGGACAUUGCAUCAUCCUAGAAAACUUGGAGGCCAGUGAGGACAAAAAUAAAAAGUUAUAAGACUUUUAAAAAUGUGGAUUUUUGGGUUAUCUUUGGCGCCCCCUAGAACGUAAACCGUGGGGUGCAGCGUCAUGAUUUGAAUAACUUUGAAUGGCCAUGGAGUGUAGAUUGGCCUGAGCAAAUUUGGUGUCAGUGGGACGAAAGCCUUAGGAGGACUUAGCAAUAUUCCAAUGUGUGCGAAUCGCCAAAAAAUGCAAAAUAGCCCUUUAACUGUACAUUUUACACUUACGUGCCCAUUGACUUUUUCAUAGAUCUUAUUGAGAUACACGUGAUAGUCAAAUUUUUUGUCAAUAUGACAAAGCGUAAAGGCAUGACACUCAACAACGUGUAUUUUCACCUUUCGGGAUAAGAAAAAAUGGACUUUUUUCUCCUGCCAUGGGGGCACGCUCUUUUGGCGAGUAAAAAUUCCUUCACAAAUGUGUUAAUUGCUGGACAUUGCAUCAUCUUAGAGAACUUGGAGGCCAGUGAGGACAAAAAUAAAAAGUUAUAAGACUUUUAAGACUGUGGAUUUUUGGGUUAUCUUUGGCGCCCCCUAGAACCUAAACCAUGGGGUGCAGCAUCAUGAUUUGAAUAACUUUUAAUGGCCAUGGGGUGUAGAUUGGCCUGAGCAAAUGUGGUGCCGGUGGAACGAAAGCCUUCGGAGGAGUUAGCGAAAUUCCAAUGUGUGCGGAUCGGCAAAAAAUGCGGAAUAACCCUUUAACUGUACAUUUGACAGAUACGCGCGCAUGGACUUUUUUGUAGAUCUUAUUGAGUUACAUGUGUGUGUCAAUUUUUGUGUCAUUUUGACAAAGCGUAUAGGCGUGACACUCAACAAUGUGUAUUUUCACCUUAGGGGACAAGAAAAAAUGGACUUUUUUCUCCUGCCAUGGGGGGGCGCUCUUUUGGGGAGUAAAAAUUCCUUCACAAAUGUGUUGAUGGCUGGACAUUGCAUCAUCCUAGAAAACUUGGAGGCCAGUGAGGGCAAAAAUAAAAAGUUAUAAGACUUUUAAAUAUGUGGAUUUUAGGGUUAUCUUUGGCGCCCCCUAGAACCUAAACCGUGGGGUGCAGCGUCAUGAUUUGAAUAACUUUCAAUGGCCAUGGGGUGUAGAUUGGCCUGAGCAAAUGUGGUGCCGGUGGAACGAAAGCCUUCGGAGGAGUUAGCGAAAUUCCAAUGUGUGCGGAUCGGCAAAAAAUGCGAAAUAACCCUUUAACCGUACAUUUGACAGAUACGCCCGCAUGACUUUUUUGUAGAUCUUAUUGAAAUACAUGUGUGUGUCAAUUUUUGUGUCAUUUUGACAAAGCGUACAGGCGUGACAGUCAAUAGUGUGAAUUUUCACCUUAGGGGGCGCUAUGGAGCCAUUUUGCAUUUUCUUGUUUGGGCGACUUCGGAAUAUCAAAUUUUUCACCAGGCCCGGUCGUCCUGCCAAAUUUCCUGAGUUUUCGCCAGUGGGAAGUGGGCCAUUUUCCAGUUCAAAGGGGAGGAAAAAUAAUAACUAGGACCCCGUUGGGGCACUGGCGGGCCCGAGCCGUGUCGCGUCCCCCCCGCAACGUGCUGCCUCCCCGUCCCAUUUGUGUCCUCUGGCCAUCGCCCUCUCUGGUAACGCCCAUCACUGCAAAGACCCUUUUCCUUCAUCGGCGUUUGCUGUUCUUCCUGCCAGUGCGUGUUGCUUUCACUUACACUUGCCACAGCCAGCCUCGUGAGUGCCUAGCCUAUUGGAUAUCACUGUCACCUACACAGGACAGUCAUUACCUUUCUAUUAAUACUUUGUGUUUUAAUUUCACAUUAAUUUCCAUAUUGUAUAAACGACUGGAAAAAACUUGAGCCCCUGCCCCUGUAUAAUCAUGUGCAUGUCUCUGUUCUAGCUCCAAGGUGAAUUUUCACUGCUCAUGUUCUCCUCAGAAGCAGUCACCUCACUCCCCUCAGGUUACUGUACACAUGCACCAACUGCCUGCUUCAGGUUUGGAUGGAGCUUCAUGGUUGUCUUUUGGAGAAAUGACCAGUCAAGUUGUGUUUGAAAUUUGAUUUUUUUCAGGGGUAAAAGGAGCCUCUGCAUUCUUGUCAAAUAUGUAAAUAGCAUGUUUUUGCAGGUGCUAAAAACCAGACUCUGAGUGUGUGUGUGUGUGUGUGUGCGUGUGUGUGUGUCUGUGUGUGCGUUCAAGUCACAUGACAUAUUUAACCGGAUGUAGCUGCAAGACGGAGCCUCGUUGACUCUCCGUUUCAACUUAUCUCAAAAGUGAGGACCUCAACCUAUAUACCAGUUUUUAAAUUGUGUUGAUAGGCCAAAUAAAACCAGAGUUAUGAUAAAUUAUGUCCGCGAUACUUUUUUUCUGCUUAUUUUGAUCACGUUCGGCGCUCGAUCGCGCUGUAUGAGACAGGAAAACAUAGCAUGCAGACAUUAGCGACAGGUCUUACAGGCGGAAAAGGCUUGCCAAAAGAAAAAAAAAACACACCACAACAUCUCUCCUAUUGGUGGAAAACUUCACCACAACAACCAAUCCAAAAUUAUAUGGUGACUGAUUGACAAGGGGCGGGCGCUUACGUUCUUCCUGCAACAUGAGAAGGGAGGGAGGGACUCUCAGCAGGGAUGCAGUCUGGGACACGUAGUUGCAAACCUAGCGACUUUGUUGUUAGAUUCAAUGACUUUUCAGACCCCCUAACGACUUUUUUUUAGAAAGAAAGGGACUUUUAUCGACUUCUUCUGGAGUUUAGAGACUCUGACAUGAAGCAGGCUUUCCUUACUGAGGAGUUAGCAACGCUGCUAAGGGUGCAGAGCCACACAUGCGCUCAGAGCUCUGCAUGGGAGACUGAAGCUGACAGAGCUGCAGCAGUUAGCAGGUUUCACCCUCAGAGACCACCAGGGGUUCAUGUUGAGGCAUUUUAAUUUUUUUUUUUUUUUGUGCCAUAGACACUGUCAGCACAAUCUGCAGUUACACUAACAAAAAUGCUGCAAAAAACAAAGAAUUAUGGAAAAAUUACACAUGGACUGACAUAGAGGAGGAUCUACACAAGUUUUUUACAUCAUGUUUUACAUCAUGCAUCAUUUACAUCAUGUUUUUUUGUAGUGGCAUAAAUAAAAAGUGACAUUUGUGAGACUAUACAGUGUUUUGUAAAUAAUUUUACAAAGAACGCCUGGGCCAUUGCCUGCAUUUUGAUGUAAAUAGAGGUAAAUCACUAUGUUCUUUGUUAAAAAUUUGCAUAUGUUUUGAAGUUUACAAUUUUAAUUUGAAGUUUAAGUUUUAAAAACAGUUCAUCACACAUAUUUGUGGUUUUCACAGUAAAAAUGUUACUUUUUUCCACUCGGAUUUUAUGUUUUGUGUGUGAAUUUGGGUCCAUUGUGUAAAUUCAGUACGUCAACAUGAUAAAAUAACUGUAAAUUCGCACAGGUGAGGUUGUGCUGAAAAAAAUGAUACCAGGCAAGGCACGUGAUUGUCAAAUUUUGUGUCAAUAUGACAAAGCGUAUAGGCGUGAAUCUCAACAAUAUGUAUUUUCACCUUAGGGGACAAGAAAAAAUGGACUUUUUUCUCCUGCCAUGGGGGGGCGCUCUUUUGGGGAGUAAAAAUUCCUUCACAAAUGUGUUGAUGGCUGGACAUUGCAUCAUCCUAGAAAACUUGGAGGCCAGUGAGGACAAAAAUAAAAAGUUAUAAGACUUUUAAAUAUGUGGAUUUUAGGGUUAUCUUUGGCGCCCCCUAGAACCUAAACCGUGGGGUGCAGCGUCAUGAUUUUGAUAACUUUUAAUGGCCAUGGGGUGUAGAUUGGCCUGAGCAAAUGUGGUGCCGGUGGAACGAAAGCCUUAGGAGGAGUUAGCGAAAUUCCAAUGUGUGCGGAUCGGCAAAAAAUGCGGAAUAACCCUUUAACCGUACAUUUGACAGAUACGCGCGCAUUGACUUUUUCGUAGAUCUUAUUGAGUUACAUGUGUGUGUCAAUUUUUGUGUCAUUUUGACAAAGCGUAUAGGCGUGACACUCAACAAUGUGUAUUUUCACCUUAGGGGACAAGAAAAAAUGGACUUUUUUCUCCUGCCAUGGGGGGGCGCUCUUUUGGGGAGUAAAAAUUCCUUCACAAAUGUGUUGAUGGCUGGACAUUGCAUCAUCCUAGAAAACUUGGAGGCCAGUGAGGACAAAAAUAAAAAGUUAUAAGACUUUUAAAUAUGUGGAUUUUAGUGUUAUCUUUGGCGCCCCCUAGAACCUAAACCUUGGGGUGCAGCGUCAUGAUUUUGAUAACUUUUAAUGGCCACGGGGUGUAGAUUGGCCUGAGCAAAUGUGGUGCCGGUGGAACGAAAGCCUUCGGAGGAGUUAGCGAAAUUCCAAUGUGUGCGGAUCGGCAAAAAAUGCGAAAUAACCCUUUAACCGUAAUUUUGACAGAUACGGCCGCACUGACUUUUUUGUAGAUCUUAUUGAGAUACAUAUGUGUGUCAAUUUUUGUGUCAAUAUGACAAAGCGUACAGGCGUGACAGUCAAUAGUGUGAAUUUUCACCUUAGGGGGCGCUAUGGAGCCAUUUUGCAUUUUAUUGUUUGGGCGACUUCAGAAUAUCAAAUUUUUCACCAGGCCCGGUCGUCCUGCCAAAUUUCAUGAGUUUUCGCCAGUGGGAAGUGGGCCAUUUUCCAGUUCAAAGGGGAGGAAAAAGAAAAAAGAAAGAAAGAAACAAAGAAAAACCACUUGGGGAAUAAUAGGGCCUACGCCCGGCUGCUCUGCAGCUGGCUCGGGCCCUAAUAAUAACAAACUAGGGCCCCGUUGGGGCACUGGCGGGCCCGAGCUGUGUCACGCCGCCCCCAACACGACCGCCUCUCCCUCCCGAUCGCGUCACACUUAAGGUUCAACGAUGGUGUGCGCACUUGUCUGUGGUCAUUUACCAUUAUAAUGAAUGGGAGGCGCAGUUUCUACCAAAACGCUUGCUGCAGACAAACUACAUGUCCUAUUUGAAAAAAGUCUGGACCAUGAGUGAGGGCACAAACACAGCUAGGAUAUAUCCAAAUGGCAAGUUCCUCCUCCUUUUGUUUUUUUCCGAGAGAGCGAUGUGUUUGAGCCAUUGAGCGAUGGGCAGGAAAAACUUGACUUUUUCUCCUGCCAUGGGGGGGCACUCUUUUAGGGAGAAAAAAUUCCUUCACAAAUGUGUUGAUGGCUAGACAUUGCAUCAUCCUAGAAAACUUUGAAGCCAGUGAGGACAAAAAUGAAAAGUUAUAAGACUUUUAAGAAUGUGGAUUUUUGGGUUAUCUUUGGCGACCCCUAGAACGUAAACCGUGGGGUGCAGCAUCAUGAUUUGUACAACUUUUAAUGGCCAUGGGGUGUAGAUUGGCCUGAGCAAAUUUGGUGCCGGUGGAACAAAAGCUUUAGGAGGAGUUAGCCACAUUCCAAUGUGUGCGAAUCAACCAAAAAUGCGAAAUAGCCCUUUAACCGUACAUUUUGCAGACACGUGCGCAUUGACUUUUUCGUAGAUCUUAUUGAGAUACACGUGAUUAUCAAAUUUUGUUUCAAUAUGACAAAGCGUACAGGCGUGACACUCAACAAUGUGUAUUUUCACCUUAUAGGACAAGAAAAAAUUGCCUUUUUUCUCCUGCCAUGGGGGGGCGCUCUUUUGGGGAGUAAAAAUUCCUUCACAAAUGUGUUGAUGGCUGGACAUUGCAUCAUCCUAGAAAACUUGGAGACCAGUGAGGACAGAAAUAAAAAGUUAUAAGACUUGUAAGAAUGUGGAUUUUUGGGUUAUCUUUGGCGCCCCCUACAACGUAAACCGUGGGGUGCAGCGUCAUGAUUUGUACAACUUUGAAUGGCCAUGGGGUGUAGAUUGGCCUGAGCAAAUUUGGUGCCGGUGGAACGAAAGCCUUCGGAGGAGUUAGCGAAAUUCCAAUGUGUGCGGAUCUGCAAAAAAUGCGAAAUAGCCCUUUAAACGUACAUUUGACAGAUACGCCCGCACUGACUUUUUUGUAGAUCUUAUUGAGAUACACGUGUGUGUCAAAUUUUGUGUCAUUUUGACAAAGCGUACAGGCGUGACACUCAAUCAUGUGAAUUUUUCACCUUAGGGGGCGCUGUGGAGCCAUUUUGCAUUUGAUUGUUUGGGUGACUUCAGAAUAUCGAAUUUUUCACCAGGCCCGGUCGUCGUGCCAAAUUUCAUGAGUUUUCACCAGUGGGAAGUGGGCCAUUUUCCAGUUCAAAGGGGCAGAAAAAUAACUAGGGCCCCGUUGGGGCACUGGCGGGCCCGAGCCGUGUCGCGCCGCCCCCAGCGCGACCGCCUACCCCUCCCGAUCGCGUCACACUCAAGGUCCAAAGAUGGUGUGCGCACUUGUCUGUGGUCAUUUACCAUUAUAAUGAAUGGGAGGCGCAGUUUCUACCAAAACGCUCGCUGCAGACAAACUCCAUGUCCUUUUUGAAAAAAUUCUGGACCAGGAGUGAGGGCACAAACACAGCUAGUAUAUAUCCAAAUGGCAAGUUGCUCCUCCUUUCGGUUUUGCCGAGAGAGCGAUGCGUUUGAGCCAUUGAGCGAUGGGCAGGAAAAACUUGACUUUUUCCCCUGCCAUGGGGGGGCGCUCUUAUGGGGAGAAAAAAUUCCUUCACAAAUGUGUUGAUGACUGAACAUUGCAUCAUCCUAGAAAACUUGGAGGCCAGUGAGGACAAAAAUAAAGUUAUAAGACUUUUAAAAAUGUGGAUAUUUGGGUCCUCUUUGGCGCCCCCUAAAACGUAAACCGUGGGGUGCAGCGUCAUGAUUUUUACAACUUUGAAUGGCCAUGGAGUGUAGAUUGGCCUGAGCAAAUUUGGUGUCAGUGGGACGAAAGCCUUAGGAGGACUUAGCGAAAUUCCAAUGUGUGCGAAUCGCCAAAAAAUGCAAAAUAGCCCUUUAACUGUACAUUUUACACUUACGUGCCCAUUGACUUUUUCAUAGAUCUUAUUGAGAUACACGUGAUAGUCAAAUUUUUUGUCAAUAUGACAAAGCGUAAAGGCAUGACACUCAACAACGUGUAUUUUCACCUUUCGGGAUAAGAAAAAAUGGACUUUUUUCUCCUGCCAUGGGGGCGCGCUCUUUUGGCGAGUAAAAAUUCCUUCACAAAUGUGUUAAUUGCUGGACAUUGCAUCAUCUUAGAGAACUUGGAGGCCAGUGAGGACAAAAAUAAAAAGUUAUAAGACUUUUAAGACUGUGGAUUUUUGGGUUAUCUUUGGCGCCCCCUAGAACCUAAACCAUGGGGUGCAGCAUCAUGAUUUGUACAACUUUGAAUGGCCAUGGGGUGUAGAUUGGCCUGAGCAAAUUUGGUGCCGGUGGAACGAAAGCCUUCGGAGGAGUUAGCAAAAUUCCAAUGUGUGCGGAUCUGCAAAAAAUGCAAAAAUAACCCUUUAACCGUACAUUUGACAGAUACGCCCGCACUGACUUUUUUGUAGAUCUUAUUGAGAUACAUGUGUGUGUCAAUUUUUGUGUCAAUAUGACAAAGCGUACAGGCGUGACACUCAAUCAUGUGAAUUUUUCACCUUAGGGGGCGCUGUGGAGCCAUUUUGCAUUUGAUUGUUUGGCUGACUUCAGAAUAUCGAAUUUUUCACCAGGCCCGGUCGUCGUGCCAAAUUUCAUGAGUUUUCACCAGUGGGAAGUGGGCCAUUUUCCAGUUCAAAGGGGCAGAAAAAUAACUAGGGCCCCGUUGGGGCACUGGCGGGCCCGAGCCGUGUCGCGCCGCCCCCAGCGCGACCGCCUACCCCUCCCGAUCGCGUCACACUCAAGGUCCAAAGAUGGUGUGCGCACUUGUCUGUGGUCAUUUACCAUUAUAAUGAAUGGGAGGCGCAGUUUCUACCAAAACGCUCGCUGCAGACAAACUCCAUGUCCUUUUUGAAAAAAUUCUGGACCAGGAGUGAGGGCACAAACACAGCUAGUAUAUAUCCAAAUGGCAAGUUGCUCCUCCUUUCGGUUUUGCCGAGAGAGCGAUGCGUUUGAGCCAUUGAGCGAUGGGCAGGAAAAACUUGACUUUUUCCCCUGCCAUGGGGGGGCGCUCUUAUGGGGAGAAAAAAUUCCUUCACAAAUGUGUUGACGACUGAACAUUGCAUCAUCCUAGAAAACUUGGAGGCCAGUGAGGACAAAAAUAAAGUUAUAAGACUUUUAAAAAUGUGGAUAUUUGGGUUAUCUUUGGCGCCCCCUAAAACGUAAACCGUGGGGUGCAGCGUCAUGAUUUUUACAACUUUGAAUGGCCAUGGAGUGUAGAUUGGCCUGAGCAAAUUUGGUGUCAGUGGGACGAAAGCCUUAGGAGGACUUAGCGAAAUUCCAAUGUGUGCGAAUCGCCAAAAAAUGCAAAAUAGCCCUUUAACUGUACAUUUUACACUUACGUGCCCAUUGACUUUUUCAUAGAUCUUAUUGAGAUACACGUGAUAGUCAAAUUUUUUGUCAAUAUGACAAAGCGUAAAGGCAUGACACUCAACAACGUGUAUUUUCACCUUUCGGGAUAAGAAAAAAUGGACUUUUUUCUCCUGCCAUGGGGGGGCGCUCUUUUGGCGAGUAAAAAUUCCUUCACAAAUGUGUUAAUUGCUGGACAUUGCAUCAUCUUAGAGAACUUGGAGGCCAGUGAGGACAAAAAUAAAAAGUUAUAAGACUUUUAAGACUGUGGAUUUUUGGGUUAUCUUUGGCGCCCCCUAGAACCUAAACCAUGGGGUGCAGCAUCAUGAUUUGUACAACUUUGAAUGGCCAUGGGGUGUAGAUUGGCCUGAGCAAAUUUGGUGCCGGUGGAACGAAAGCCUUCGGAGGAGUUAGCAAAAUUCCAAUGUGUGCGGAUCUGCAAAAAAUGCAAAAAUAACCCUUUAACCGUACAUUUGACAGAUACGCCCGCACUGACUUUUUUGUAGAUCUUAUUGAGAUACAUGUGUGUGUCAAUUUUUGUGUCAAUAUGACAAAGCGUACAGGCGUGACAGUCAAUAGUGUGAAUUUUCACCUUAGGGGGCGCUAUGGAGCCAUUUUGCAUUUUAUUGUUUGGGCGACUUCAGAAUAUCGAAUUUUUCACCAGGCCCGGUCGUCCUGCCAAAUUUCCUGAGUUUUCGCCAGUGGGAAGUGGGCCAUUUUCCAGUUUAAAGCGGAGGAAAAAUAACUAGGGCCCCGGUGGGGCACUGUCGGGCCCGAGCCGCGUCGCGCCGCCCCCAGCGCGACCGCCUCCCCCCCCCGAUCGUGUCACACUCAAGGUCCAAAGAUGGUGUGCGCACUUGUCUGUGGUCAUUUCCCAUUAUAAUGAAUGGGAGGCGCAGUUUCUACCAAAACACUCGCUGCAGACAAACUACAUGUCCUAUUUGAAAAAAGUCUGGACCAUGAGUGAGGGCACAAACACAGCUAGGAUAUAUCCAAACGGCAAGUUGCUCCUCGUUACGGUGUUGCCGGGAGAGCGAUGCGAUUGAGCCAUUGAGUGAUGGGCAGGAAAAACUUGACUGUUUCUCCUGCCAUGGGGGAUGGCGGAUGGGGGGGGUGUGGAUUCUUUUAAGAAUGUGGAUAUUUGGGUCAUCUUUGGCGCCCCCUAGAACGUAAAUCGUGGGGUGCAGCGUCAUGAUUUUUACAACUUUGAAUGGCCAUGGGGUGUAGAUUGACCUGAGCAAAUUUGGUGUCAGUGGGACGAAAGCCUUAGGAGGAGUUAGCCACAUUCCAAUGUGUGCGAAUCGGCAAAAAAUGCAAAAUAGCCCUUUAACCGUACAUUUUACAGAUACGCGUGCAUUGACUUUUUCGUAGAUCUUAUUGAGACACACGUGAUUGUCAAAUUUUGUGUCAAUAUGACAAAGCGUACAGGCGUGGCACUCAACAAUAUGUAUUUUCACCUUAGGGGACAAGAAAAAAUGGACUUUUUUCUCCUGCCAUGGGGGGGCGCUCUUUUGGGGAGUAAAAAUUCCUUCACAAAUGUGUUGAUGGCUGGACAUUGCAUCAUCCUAGAGAACUUGGAGGCCAGUGAGGACAAAAAUAAAAAGUUAUAAGACUUUUAAAUAUGUGGAUUUUAGGGUUAUAUUUGGCGCCCCCUAGAACCUAAACCGUGGGGUGCAGCAUCAUGAUUUGAAUAACUUUUAAUGGCCAUGGGGUGUAGAUUGGCCUGAGCAAAUGUGGUGCCGGUGGAACAAAAGCCUUCGGAGGAGUUAGCGAAAUUCCAAUGUGUGCGCAUCGGCAAAAAAUGCGAAAUAACCCUUUAACCGUACAUUUGACAGAUACGCGCGUGUUGACUUUUUCGUAGAUCUUAUUGAGUUACAUGUGUGUGUCAAUUUUUGUGUCAUUUUGACAAAGCGUAUAGGCGUGACACUCAACAAUGUGUAUUUUCACCUUAGGGGACAAGAAAAAAUGGACUUUUUUCUCCUGCCAUGGGGGGGCGCUCUUUUGGGGAGUAAAAAUUCCUUCACAAAUGUGUUGAUGGCUGGACAUUGCAUCAUCCUAGAAAACUUGGAGGCCAGUGAGGACAAAAAUAAAAAGUUAUAAGACUUUUAAAUAUGUGGAUUUUAGUGUUAUCUUUGGCGCCCCCUAGAACCUAAACCUUGGGGUGCAGCGUCAUGAUUUUGAUAACUUUUAAUGGCCACGGGGUGUAGAUUGGCCUGAGCAAAUGUGGUGCCGGUGGAACGAAAGCCUUCGGAGGAGUUAGCGAAAUUCCAAUGUGUGCGGAUCGGCAAAAAAUGCGAAAUAACCCUUUAACCGUAAUUUUGACAGAUACGGCCGCACUGACUUUUUUGUAGAUCUUAUUGAGAUACAUAUGUGUGUCAAUUUUUGUGUCAAUAUGACAAAGCGUACAGGCGUGACAGUCAAUAGUGUGAAUUUCCACCUUAGGGGGCGCUAUGGAGCCAUUUUGCAUUUUAUUGUUUGGGCGACUUCAGAAUAUCGAAUUUUUCACCAGGCCCGGUCGUCCUGCCAAAUUUCAUGAGUUUUCGCCAGUGGGAAGUGGGCCAUUUUCCAGUUCAAAGGGGAGGAAAAAGAAGAAAGAAAGAACUAGGGCCCCGUUGGGGCACUGGCGGGCCCGAGCCGUGUCGCGCUGCCCCCCCCCCAACGCGCUGCCUCCCCGUCCCAUUCGUGUCCUCUGGCCAUCGCCCUCUCUGGUAACGCCCAUCACUGCAAAGACCCUUUCCUUCAUCAGCGUUUGCUGUUCUUCCUGCCAGUGCGUGUUGCUUUCACUUACACUUGCCACAGCCAGCCUCGUGAGUGCCUAGCCUAUUGGAUAUCACUGUCAUCUACACAGGACAGUCAUAACCUUUCUAUUAAUACUUGUUUUUUAAUUUCACAUUAAUUUCAAUAUUGUAUAAAUGACUGGAAAAAACUUGAGCCCCUGCCCCUGUAUAAUCAUGUGCACGUCCCUGUUCUAGCUCCAAGGUGAAUCUUCACUGCUCAUGUUCUCCUCAGAAGUAGUCACCUCACUCCCCUCAGGUGACUAUACACAUGCACCAACUGCCUGCUUCAGGUUUGGAUGGAGCUUCAUGGUUGUCUUUUGGAGAAAUGAGCAGUCAAGUUGUGUUUGAAAUUUGAUUUUUUUCAGGGGCAAAAAGGGGCCUCUGCAUUCUAGUCAAAUAUGUAAAUAGCAUGUUUUUGCAGGUGCUAAAAAAAGACUCUGAGUGUGUGUGUGUGUAUAUCCUGCAGUACUCUGAGAAGAAUAAUAAGCAUAUUUCUGAGGUGAAUUUUGAAGAUUCAUCUGAGAGUUAGGAGGGCUGAUCAUUCCCUUACCUUUUAGAUGUCUGUCUAUGUCUGUUUUUGUGUGAUAAUGAAAGAAUCCCAACUCAAAAAGGCUCUGUUGAUGUUUUUUUUUUGUUGUUGUUCAUUCAUAUUCAAACCACUAUUUUAUAUCACUGCUAAUACGCCAAGACCAUUUUAUGGAAUUUAGCUUUAUUAUUUCUAUACAUUUUGCAAGGAAAGAAACCAAGGCCUUCACUAAAAUUUCCAUAAACUUUAGGAAAGGACCUCUGGUUGUUUAACGGGGUCAUUACUGCAAAAACAUAUUCUUCCUAAAUUUUGAAGGUCAAACCUUAGAUCCAUUAGGUUUAAAUAGAAAAAGCAUUAAAAUAUGUUAGGAUUAUAGCAUAUGACAAAUAUGUGCCUUUCAGUGGCCACAACUACUUUGUCUGCUGGCUCUGCAGUCGAUUGACGCUCCCCAGCGUUCAAGUCACAUUACAUAUUUAACCGGAUGUAGCUGCAAGACGGAGCCUCGUUGACUCUCCGUUUCAACUUAUCUCAAAAGUGAGGACCUCAAACUAUAUACCAGUUUUUAAAUUGUGUUGAUAGGCCAAAUAAAACCAGAGUUAUGAUAAAUUAUGUCCGCGAUACUUUUUUUCUGCUUAUUUUGAUCACGUUCGGCGCUCGAUCCCGCUGUAUGAGACAGGAAAACAUAGCAUGCAGACAUUAGCGACAGCUCUUACAGGCGGAAAAGGCUUGCCAAAGGAAAAAAAAAACACACCACAACAUCUCUCCUAUUGGUGGAAAACUUCACCACAACAACCAAUCCAAAAUUAUAUGGUGACUGAUUGACAAGGGGCGGGCGCUUACGUUCUUCCUGCAACAUGAGAAGGGAGGGAGGGACUCUCAGCAGGGAUGCAGUCUGGGACACGUAGUUGCAAACCUAGCGACUUUGUUGUUAGAUUCAAUGACUUUUCAGACCCCCUAACGACUUUUUUUUAGAAAGAAAGGGACUUUUAUCGACUUCUUCUGGAGUUUAGAGACUCUGACAUGAAGCAGGCUUUCCUUACUGAGGAGUUAGCAACGCUGCUAAGGGUGCAGAGCCACACAUGCGCUCCGAGCUCUGCAUGGGAGACUGAAGCUGACAGAGCUGCAGCAGUUAGCAGGUUUCACCCUCAGAGACCACCAGGGGUUCAUGUUGAGGCAUUUUAAUUUUUUUUUUUUUGUGCCAUAGACACUGUCAGCACAAUCUGCAGUUACACUAACAAAAAUGCUGCAAAAAACAAAGAAUUAUGGAAAAAUUACACAUGGACUGACAUAGAGGAGGAUCUACACAAGUUUUUUACAUCAUGUUUUACAUCAUGCAUCAUUUACAUCAUGUUUUUUUGUAGUGGCAUAAAUAAAAAGUGACAUUUGUGAGACUAUACAGUGUUUUGUAAAUAAUUUUACAAAGAACGCCUGGGCCAUUGCCUGCAUUUUGAUGUAAAUAGAGGUAAAUAACUAUGUUCUUUGUUAAAAAUUUGCAUAUGUUUUGAAGUUUACAAUUUUUAUUUGAAGUUUAAGUUUUAAAAACAGUUCAUCACACAUAAUUGUGGUUUAAUUUCACAUUAAUUUCCAUAUUGUAUAAAUGACUGGAAAAAACUUGAGCCCCUGCCCCUGUAUAAUCAUGUGCACGUCCCUGUUCUAGCUCCAAGGUGAAUCUUCACUGCUCAUGUUCUCCUCAGAAAUAGUCACCUCACUCCCCUCAGGUUACUGUACACAUGCACCAACUAUCUGCUUCAGGUUUGGAUGGAGCCUCAUGGUUGUCUUUUGGAGAAAUGAACAGUCAAGUUGUGUUUGAAAUUUGAUUUUUUUCAGGGGCAAAAGGAAGCCUCUGCAUUCUUGUCAAAUAUGUAAACAGCAUGUUUUUGCAGGUGCUAAAAAACAGACUCUGAGUGUGUGUGUGUGUGUGUGUGUGUGUGUGUGUGUGUGUGUGUGUGUAUGUUGGCGUGUGUGUAUAUGUGUGUGUAUCCUGCAGUACUCUGUACUCCUGCAGUGGCCAAAAAGACUUUUAAGAAUGUGGAUUUUUGGGUCAUCUUUGGCGCCCCCUAGAACUGCAGUACUCUGUACUCCUGCAGUGGCCAAAAUGACUUUUAAGAAUGUGGAUUUUUGGGUCAUCUUUGGCGCCCCCUAGAACGUAAACCGUGGGGUGCAGCGUCAUGAUUUUUACAACUUUGAAUGGGCAUGGGGUGUAGAUUGCCCUGAGCAAAUUUGGUAUCGGUGGGACGAAAGCCUUAGGAGGAGAUAGCCACAUUCCAAUGUGUGCGAAUCGGCAAAAAAUGCAAAAUAGCCCUUUAACCGUACAUUAUACAGAUACGCGCUCUUUGACUUUUUCGUAGAUCUAAUUGAGAUACACAUGAUUGUCAAUUUUUGUGUCAAUAUGACAAAGCGUUCAGGCGUGACACUCAACAAUGUGUAUUUUUAUGUAAGGGGACAAGAAAAAAUUGACUUUUUUCUCCUACCAUGGGGGGGCGCUCUUUUGGGGAGUAAAAAUUCCUUCACAAAUGUGUUGAUGGCUGGACAUUGCAUCAUCCUAGAAAACUUGGAGGCCAGUGAGGACAAAAAUAAAAAGUUAUAAAACAUUUAAGAAUGUGGAUUUUUGGGUUAUUUUUGGCGCCCCCUAGAACCUAAACCAUGGGGUGCAGCAUCAUGAUUUGAAUAACUUUUAAUGGCCAUGGGGUGUAGAUUGGCCUGAGCAAAUGUGGUGCCGGUGGAACGAAAGCCUUCGGAGGAGUUAGCGAAAUUCCAAUGUGUGCGGAUCGGCAAAAAAUGCGGAAUAACCCUUUAACUGUACAUUUGACAGAUACGCGCGCAUGGACUUUUUUGUAGAUCUUAUUGAGUUACAUGUGUGUGUCAAUUUUUGUGUCAUUUUGACAAAGCGUAUAGGCGUGACACUCAACAAUGUGUAUUUUCACCUUAGGGGACAAGAAAAAAUGGACUUUUUUCUCCUGCCAUGGGGGGGCGCUCUUUUGGGGAGUAAAAAUUCCUUCACAAAUGUGUUGAUGGCUGGACAUUGCAUCAUCCUAGAAAACUUGGAGGCCAGUGAGGACAAAAAUAAAAAGUUAUAAGACUUUUAAAUAUGUGGAUUUUAGUGUUAUCUUUGGCGCCCCCUAGAACCUAAACCUUGGGGUGCAGCGUCAUGAUUUUGAUAACUUUUAAUGGCCACGGGGUGUAGAUUGGCCUGAGCAAAUGUGGUGCCGGUGGAACGAAAGCCUUCGGAGGAGUUAGCGAAAUUCCAAUGUGUGCGGAUCGGCAAAAAAUGCGAAAUAACCCUUUAACCGUAAUUUUGACAGAUACGGCCGCACUGACUUUUUUGUAGAUCUUAUUGAGAUACAUGUGUGUGUCAAUUUUUGUGUCAAUAUGACAAAGCGUACAGGCGUGACAGUCAAUAGUGUGAAUUUCCACCUUAGGGGGCGCUAUGGAGCCAUUUUGCAUUUUAUUGUUUUGGCGACUUCAGAAUAUCGAAUUUUUCACCAGGCCCUGUCGUCCUGCCAAAUUUCAUGAGUUUUCGCCAGUGGGAAGUGGGCCAUUUUCCAGUUCAAAGGGGAGGAAAAAGAAAAAAGAAAGAAAGAAACAAAGAAAAACCACUUGGGGAAUAAUAGGGCCUACGCCCGGCUGCUCUGCAGCUGGCUCGGGCCCUAAAGAACUAGGACCCCGGUGGGGCACUGUCGGGCCCGAGCCGCGUUGCGCCGCCCCCAGCGCGACCGCCUCCCCCUCCCGAUCGCGUCACACUCAAGGUCCAAAGAUGGUGUGCGCACUUGUCUGUGGUCAUUUCCCAUUAUAAUGAAUGGGAGGCGCAGUUUCUACCAAAACACUUGCUGCAGACAAACUUCAUGUCCUAUUUGAAAAAAGGCUGGACCAUGAGUGAGGGCACAAACACAGCUGGGAUAUAUCCAAAUGGCAGGUUGCUCCUCGUUACGGUGUUGCCUGGAGAGCGAUGCGAUUGAGCCAUUGAGCGAUGGGCAGGAAAAACUUGACUUUUUCUCCUGCCAUGGGGGGGGGGGGGGGGGGGGAUGUGGAUUCUUUUAAGAAUGUGGAUUUUUUGGUCAUCUUUGGCGCCCCCUAGAACGUAAACCGUGGGGUGCAGCGUCAUGAUUUGUACAACUUUGAAUGGCCAUGGGGUGUAGAUUGGCCUGAGCAAAUUUGGUUUCAGUGGGACGAAAGCCUUAGGAGGAGUUAGCCACAUUCCAAUGUGUGCGAAUCGGCAAAAAAUGCAAAAUAGCCCUCUAACCAUACAUUUGACAGAUACGCACCCAUUGACUUUUUCGUAGAUCUUAUUGAGAUACACGUGUGUGUCAAAUUUUGUGUCAAUAUGACAAAGCGUACAGGUGUCACACUCAACAAUGUGAAUUUUCACCUUACGGGACAAGAAAAAAUGGACUUUUUUCUCCUGCCAUGGGGGGGCGCUCUUUUGGGGAGUAAAAAUUCCUUCACAAAUGUGUUGAUGGCUGGACAUUGCAUCAUCCUAGAAAACUUGGAGGCCAGUGAGGACAAAAAUAAAAAGUUAUAAGACUUUGAAAUAUGUGGAUUUUAGGGUUAUCUUUGGCGCCCCCUAGAACCUAAACCGUGGGGUGCAGCGUCAUGAUUUGAAUAACUUUUAAUGGCCAUGGGGUGUAGAUUGGCCUGAGCAAAUGUGGUGCCGGUGGAACGAAAGCCUUCGGAGGAGUUAGCGAAAUUCCAAUGUGUGCGGAUCAGCAAAAAAUGCGGAAUAACCCUUUAACCGUACAUUUGACAGAUACGCCCGCACUGACUUUUUUGUAGAUCUUAUUGAGAUACAUGUGUGUGUCAAUUUUUGUGUCAUUUUGACAAAGCGUACCGGCGUGACAGUGAAUAGUGUGAAUUUUCACCUUAGGGGGCGCUAUGGAGCCAUUUUGCAUUUUCUUGUUUGGGCGACUUCGGAAUAUCAAAUUUUUCACCAGGCCCGGUCGUCCUGCCAAAUUUCAUGAGUUUUCGCCAGUGGGAAGUGGGCCAUUUUCCAGUUCAAAGGGGAGGAAAAAUAAUAACUAGGGCCCCGGUGGGGCACUGUCGGGCCCGAGCCGCGUUGCGCCGCCCCCAGCGCGACCGCCUCCCCCACCCGAUCGCGUCACACUCAAGGUCCAAAGAUGGUGUGCGCACUUGUUUGUGGUCAUUUACCAUUAUAAUGAACGGGAGGCGCAGUUUCUACCAAAACGCUCGCUGCAGAAAAACUCCAUGUCCUAUUUGAAAAAAGUCUGGACCAUGAGUGAGGGCAAAAACACAGCUAAGAUAUAUCCAAAUGGCAAGUUGCUCCUCCUUUCGCUUUUGCCGAGAGAGCAGUGCGUUUGAGCCAUUGAAUGAUGAACAGGAAAAACUUGACUUUAUUCUCCUGCCAUGGGGGGGGCGCUCUUUUAACGAGAAAAAACUCCUUCACAAAUGUGUUGAUGGCUGGACAUUGCAUCAUCCUAGAAAACAUGGAGGCCAGUGAGGACAAAAAUAAAAAGUUAUAAGACUUUUAAAUAUGUGGAUUUUAGGGUUAUCUUUGGCGCCCCCUAGAACCUAAACCGUGGGGUGCAGCGUCAUGAUUUGAAUAACUUUUAAUGGCCAUGGGGUGUAGAUUGGCCUGAGCAAAUGUGGUGCCGGUGGAACGAAAGCCUUCGGAGGAGUUAGCGAAAUUCCAAUGUGUGCGAAUCUGCAAAAAAUGCGAAAUAACCCUUUAACCGUACAUUUUACAGAUACGUGGCCAUUGACUUUUUUGAAGAUCUUAUUGAAAGACACGUGUAUGUAAAAUUUUGUGUCAAUACAACAAAACAUACAGGCGUAGCACUCAACAAUGUGUAUUUUCACCUUAGUGGACAAGAAAAAAUGGACUUUUUUCUCCUGCCAUGGGGGGGCGCUCUUUUGGCGAGUAAAAAUUCCUUCACAAAUGUGUUGAUGGCUGGACAUUGCAUCAUCCUAGAAAACUUGGAGGCCAGUGGGGACAAAAAUAAAAAGUUAUAAGACUUUUAAAUAUGUGGAUUUUACGGUUAUCUUUGGCGCCCCCUAGAACCUAAACCGUGGGGUGCAGCGUCAUGAUUUGAAUAACUUUUAAUGGCCAUGGGGUGUAGAUUGGCCUGAGAAAAUGUGGUGCCGGUGGAACGAAAGCCUUCGGAGGAGUUAGCGAAAUUCCAAUGUGUGCGGAUCGGCAAAAAAUGCGGAAUAACCCUUUAACCGUACAUUUGACAGAUACGUGCGCAUUGACUUUUUUGUAGAUCUUAUUGAGAUACAUGUGUGUCUCAAUUUUGGUGUCAUUUUGCCAAAGCGUACAGGUGUUACACUCAACAAUGUGUAUUUUCACCUUAGGGGACAAGAAAAAAUGGACUUUUUUCUCCUGCCAUGGGGGGGCGCUCUUUUGUGGAGUAAAAAUUCCUUCACAAAUGUGUUGAUGGCUGGACAUUGCAUCAUCCUAGAAAACUUGGAGGCCAGUGAGGGCAAAAAUAAAAAGUUAUAAGACUUUUAAAUAUGUGGAUCUUAGGGUUAUCUUUGGCGCCCCCUAGAACCUAAACCGUGGGGUGCAGCGUCAUGAUUUGAAUAACUUUUAAUGGCCAUGGGGUGUAGAUUGGCCUGAGCAUAUGUGGUGCCGGUGGAACGAAAGCCUUCGGAGCAGUUAGCGAAAUUCCAAUGUGUGCGGAUCGGCAAAAAAUGCGAAAUAACCCUUUAACCGUACAUUUGACAGAUACGCCCGCACUGACUUUUUUGUAGAUCUUAUUGAGAUACAUGUGUGUGUCAAUUUUUGUGUCAUUUUGACAAAGCGUACAGGCGUGACAGUCAAUAGUGUGAAUUUUCACCUUAGGGGGCGCUAUGGAGCCAUUUUGCAUUUUCUUGUUUGGGCGACUUCGGAAUAUCAAAUUUUUCACCAGGCCCAGUCGUCCUGCCAAAUUUCAUGAGUUUUCGCCAGUGGGAAGUGGGCCAUUUUCCAGUUCAAAGGGGAGGAAAAAUAAUAACUAGGACCCCGUUGGGGCACUGGCGGGCCCGAGCCGUGUCGCCCCCCCCCCAACGCGCUGCCUCCCCGUCCCAUUUGUGUCCUCUGGCCAUCGCCCUCUCUGGUAACGCCCAUCACUGCAAAGACCCUUUUCCUUCAUCGGCGUUUGCUGUUCUUCCUGCCAGUGCGUGUUGCUUUCACUUACACUUGCCACAGCCAGCCUCGUGAGUGCCUAGCCUAUUGGAUAUCACUGUCACCUACACAGGACAGUCAUUACCUUUCUAUUAAUACUUUGUGUUUUAAUUUCACAUUAAUUUCCAUAUUGUAUAAACGACUGGAAAAAACUUGAGCCCCUGCCCCUGUAUAAUCAUGUGCAUGUCUCUGUUCUAGCUCCAAGGUGAAUCUUCACUGCUCAUGUUCUCCUCAGAAAUAGUCACCUCACUCCCCUCAGGUUACUGUACACAUGCACCAACUAUCUGCUUCAGGUUUGAAAUGGAGCUUCAUGGUUGUCUUUUGGAGAAAUGAACAGUCAAGUUGUGUUUGAAAUUUGAUUUUUUUCAGGGGCAAAAGGAAGCCUCUGCAUUCUUGUCAAAUAUGUAACAGCAUGUUUUUGCAGGUGCUAAAAAACAGACUCUGAGUGUGUGUGUGUGUGUGUGUGUGUGUGUGUGUGUGUGUGUGUGUGUGUGUGUGUGUGUGUGUAUGUUGGCGUGUGUGUAUAUGUGUGUGUAUCCUGCAGUACUCUGUACUCCUGCAGUGGCCAAAAAGACUUUUAAGAAUGUGGAUUUUUGGGUCAUCUUUGGCGCCCCCUAGAACUGCAGUACUCUGUACUCCUGCAAUGGCCAAAAUGACUUUUAAGAAUGUGGAUUUUUGGGUCAUCUUUGGCGCCCCCUAGAACGUAAACCGUGGGGUGCAGCGUCAUGAUUUUUACAACUUUGAAUGGGCAUGGGGUGUAGAUUGCCCUGAGCAAAUUUGGUAUCGGUGGGACGAAAGCCUUAGGAGGAGAUAGCCACAUUCCAAUGUGUGCGAAUCGGCAAAAAAUGCAAAAUAGCCCUUUAACCGUACAUUAUACAGAUACGCGCUCUUUGACUUUUUCGUAGAUCUAAUUGAGAUACACAUGAUUGUCAAAUUUUGUGUCAAUAUGACAAAGCGUACAGGUAUGACAGUCAACAAUGUGUUUUUUCACCUUAUGGGACAAGAAAAAAUGGACUUUUUUCUCCUGCCAUGGGGGGGGGCGCUCUUUUGGGGAGUAAAAAUUCCUUCACAAAUGUGUUGAUGGCUGGACAUUGCAUCAUCCUAGAAAACUUGGAGGCCAGUGAGGACAAAAAUAAAAAGUUAUAAGACUUUGAAAUAUGUGGAUUUUAGGGUUAUCUUUGGCGCCCCCUAGAACCUAAACCGUGGGGUGCAGCGUCAUGAUUUGAAUAACUUUUAAUGGCCAUGGGGUGUAGAUUGGCCUGAGCAAAUGUGGUGCCGGUGGAACGCCAGCCUUAGGAGGAGUUAGCGAAAUUCCAAUGUGUGCGGAUCAGCAAAAAAUGCGGAAUAACCCUUUAACCGUACAUUUGACAGAUACGCGUGCAUUGACUUUUUCGUAGAUCUUAUUGAGAUACAUGUGUGUGUCAAAUUUUGUGUCAAUAUGACAAAGCGUACAGGCGUGACACUCAACAAUGUGUAUUUUCACCUUAGGGGACAAGAAAAAAUGGACUUUCUUCUCCUGCCAUGUGGGGGCGCUCUUUUGGGGAUUAAAAAUUCCUUCACAAAUGUGUUGAUGGCUGGACAUUGCAUCAUCCUAGAAAACUUGGAGGCCAGUGAGGGCAAAAAUAAAAAGUUAUAAGACUUUUAAAUAUGUGGAUUUUAGUGUUAUUUUUGGCGCCCCCUAGAACCUAAACCUUGGGGUGCAGCGUCAUGAUUUGAAUAACUUUUAAUGGCCAUGGGGUGUAGAUUGGCCUGAGCAAAUGUGGUGCCGGUGGAACGAAAGCCUUCGGAGGAGUUAGCGAAAUUCCAAUGUGUGCGGAUCGGCAAAAAAUGCGAAAUAACCCUUUAACCGUAAAUUUGACAGAUACGCCCGCACUGACUUUUUUGUAGAUCUUAUUGAGAUACAUGUGUGUGUCAAUUUUUGUGUCAUUUUGACAAAGCGUACAGGCGUGACAGUCAAUAGUGUGAAUUUUCACCUUAGGGGGCGCUAUGGAGCCAUUUUGCAUUUUAUUGUUUGGGCGACUUCAGAAUAUCAAAUUUUUCACCAGGCCCGGUCGUCCUGCCAAAUUUCAUGAGUUUUCGCCAGUGGGAAGUGGGCCAUUUUCCAGUUCAAAGGGGAGGAAAAAUAAUAAUAAUUAGGGGGCGCUAUGGAGCCAUUUUGCAUUUUAUUGUUUGGGCGACUUCAGAAUAUCGAAUUUUUCACCAGGCCCGGUCGUCCUGCCAAAUUUCAUGAGUUUUCGCCAGUGGGAAGUGGGCCAUUUUCCAGUUCAAAGGGGAGGAAAAAGAAGAAAGAAAGAAAGAAAGAAAGAAAGAAAGAAAGAAACAAAGAAAAACCACUUGGGGAAUAAUAGGGCUCUCGCAGCUGCUUAGCAGCUACGCUCGGGCCCUAAUAAUAAUAACAAAAGAAGGAAACAUGCAGGAACAAGAGGGCUCUCGCAGCUGCUUAGCAGCUACGCUCGGGCCCUAAUAAUAAUAAUAACAAAAGAAGGAAACAUGCAGGAACAAGAGGGCUCUCGCAGCUGCUUAGCAGCUACGCUCGGGCCCUAAAGAAACAAAGAAAAACCACUUGGGGAAUAAUAGGGCUCUCGCAGCUGCUUAGCAGCUACGCUCGGGCCCUAAUAAUAAUAACAAAAGAAGAAUCCAUCAGGAACAAGAGGGCUCUCGCAGCUGCUUAGCAGCUACGCUCGGGCCCUAAAGAAGGAAACAUGCAGGAACAAGAGGGCUCUCGCAGCUGCUUAGCAGCUACGCUCGGGCCCUAAAGAAGAAUCCAUCAGGAACAAGAGGGCUCUCGCAGCUGCUUAGCAGCUACGCUCGGGCCCUAAAAAGAAGGAAACAUGCAGGAACAAGAGGGCUCUCGCAGCUGCCCUGCCCCUGUAUAAUCAUGUGCCCGUCUCUGUUCUAGCUCCAAGGUGAAUCUUCACUGCUCAUGUUCUCCUCAGAAGCAGUCACCUCACUCCCCUCAGGUUAUUGUACACAUGCACCAACUGCCUGCUUCAGGUUUGGAUGGAGCUUCAUGGUUGUCUUUUGGAGAAAUGACCAGUCAAGUUGUGUUUGAAAUUUGAUUUUUUCAGGGGCAAAAGGAGCCUCUGCAUUCUUGUCAAAUAUGUAAAUAGCAUGUUUUUGCAGGUGCUAAAAACCAGACUCUGAGUGUGUGUGUGUGUGUGUGUGUGCGUGUGUGUGUGUGUGUGUGCGUUCAAGUCACAUGACAUAUUUAACCGGAUGUAGCUGCAAGACGGAGCCUCGUUGACUCUCCGUUUCAACUUAUCUCAAAAGUGAGGACCUCAACCUAUAUACCAGUUUUUAAAUUGUGUUGAUAGGCCAAAUAAAACCAGAGUUAUGAUAAAUUAUGUCCGCAAUACUUUUUUUCUGCUUAUUUUGAUCACGUUCGGCGCUCGAUCGCGCUGUAUGAGACAGGAAAACAUAGCAUGCAGACAUUAGCGACAGGUCUUACAGGCAGAAAAGGCUUGCCAAAGGAAAAAAACACACCACAACAUCUCUCCUAUUGGUGGAAAACUUCACCACAACAACCAAUCCAAAAUUAUAUGGUGACUGAUUGACAAGGGGCGGGCGCUUACGUUCUUCCUGCAAUAUGAGAAGGGAGGGAGGGACUCUCAGCAGGGAUGCAGUCUGGGACACGUAGUUGCAAACCUAGCGACUUUGUUGUUAGAUUCAAUGACUUUUCAGACCCCCUAACGACUUUUUCUUAGAAAGAAAGGGACUUUUAUCGACUUCUUCUGGAGUUUAGAGACUCUGACAUGAAGCAGGCUUUCCUUACUGAGGAGUUAGCAACGCUGCUAAGGGUGCAGAGCCACACAUGCGCUCCGAGCUCUGCAUGGGAGACUGAAGCUGACAGAGCUGCAGCAGUUAGCAGGUUUCACCCUCAGAGACCACCAGGGGUUCAUGUUGAGGCAUUUUCAGUUUUUUUUUUUUUUUGUGCCAUAGACACUGUCAGCACAAUCUGCAGUUACACUAACAAAAAUGCUGCAAAAAACAAAGAAUUAUGGAAAAAUUACACAUGGACUGACAUAGAGGAGGAUCUACACAAGUUUUUUACAUCAUGUUUUACAUCAUGCAUCAUUUACAUCAUGUUUUUUUGUAGUGGCAUAAAUAAAAAGUGACAUUUGUGAGACUAUACAGUGUUUUGUAAAUAAUUUUACAAAGAACGCCUGGGCCAUUGCCUGCAUUUUGAUGUAAAUAGAGGUAAAUUACUAUGUUCUUUGUUAAAAAUUUGCAUAUGUUUUGAAGUUUACAAUUUUUAUUUGAAGUUUAAGUUUUAAAAACAGUUCAUCACACAUAUUUGUGGUUUUCACAGUAAAAACGUUACUUUUUUCCACUCGGAUUUUAUGUUUUGUGUGUGAAUUUGGGUCCAAUGUGUAAAUAUAGUAUGUCAAAAUGAUAAAAUAACUGUAAAUUGACACAGGUGAGGUUGUGCUGAAAAAAAUGAUACCAGGCAAGGCAAGGUAAAAAUUUUGUAAGAGGAAAUAUAAAGGUAAAAUCUAAAGUAGUCAAAAACGGCCAAUAGUGACUCACAGACUCCACAGACAAGUCCCUUUGGCGCCACUCAGUGGGCAAAACUACUUUGUCUACUGUAAUGAAUAUUUGGGUCAUCUUUGGCGCCCCCUAAAACGUAAACCGUGGGGUGCAGCGUCAUGAUUUUUACAACUUUGAAUGGCCAUGGAGUGUAGAUUGGCCUGAGCAAAUUUGGUGUCAGUGGGACGAAAGCCUUAGGAGGACUUAGCGAAAUUCCAAUGUGUGCGAAUCGCCAAAAAAUGCAAAAUAGCCCUUUAACUGUACAUUUUACACUUACGUGCCCAUUGACUUUUUCAUAAAUCUUAUUGAGAUACACGUGAUAGUCAAAUUUUUUGUCAAUAUGACAAAGCGUAAAGGCAUGACACUCAACAACGUGUAUUUUCACCUUUCGGGAUAAGAAAAAAUGGACUUUUUUCUCCUGCCAUGGGGGGGCGCUCUUUUGGGGAGUAAAAAUUUCUUCACAAAUGUGUUGAUGGCUGGACAUUGCAUCAUCCUAAAAAACUUGGAGGCCAGUAUGGAAAAAAAUAAAAAGUUAAAAGACUUUUAAGAAUGUGGAUUUUUGGGUUAUAUUUGGUGCCCCCUAGAACCCAAACCGUGAGGUGCAGCAAGAUGAUUUGUACAACUUUUAAUGGCCAUGGGGUGUAGAUUGGCCUGAGCAAAUUUGGUGCCGGUGGAAAGAUAGCCUUCGGAGGAGUUAGCGAAAUUCAAAUGUGUGCGGAUCGGCAAAAAAUGCAAAAUAGCCCUUUAACCGUACAUUUGACAGAUACAUGCCCUUUGACUUUUUCGUAGAUCUUAUUGAGAUACACGUGAUUGUCAAAUUUUGUGUCAAUAUGACAAAGCAUACAGGCGUGACACUCGACAAUGUGUAUUUUCACCUUAGGAGACAAGAAAAAAUGGACCUUUUUCUCCUGCCAUUGGGGGGCGCUCUUUUGGGGAGUAAAAAUUCCUUCACAAAUGUGUUGAUGGCUGGACAUUGCAUCAUCCUAGAAAACUUGGAGGCCAGUGAGGACAAAAGUAAAAAGUUAUAAGACUUUUAAGAAUGUGGAUUUUUGGGUUAUCUCUGGCGCCCCCUAGAACGUAAACCGUGGGGUGCAGCGUCAUGAUUUGAAUAACUUUUAAUGGCCAUGGGGGGUAGAUUGGCCUGAGCAAAUGUGGUGCCGGUCGAACGAAAGCCUUCAGAGGAGUUAGCGAAAUUCCAAUGUGUGCAGAUCUGCAAAAAAUGCAAAAUAACCCAUUAACCGUACAUUUGACAGAUACGCCCGUACUGACUUUUUUGUAGAUCUUAUUGAGAUACAUUUGUGUGUCAAUUUUUGUGUCAAUAUGACAAAGCGUACAGCCGUCAUGUGAAUUUUCACCUUAGGGGGCGCUAUGGAGCCAUUUUGCAUUUUAUUGUUUGGGCGACUUCAGAAUAUCAAAUUAUUCACGAGGCCCGGUCGUCCUGCCAAAUUUCCUGAGUUUUCGCUAGUGGGAAGUGGGCCAUUUUCCAGUUUAAAGCGGAGGAAAAAUAAUAACAAACUAGGGCCCCGGUGGGGCACUGUCGGGCCCGAGCCGCGUCGCGCCGCCCCCAGCGCGACCGCCUCCCCCUCCCGAUCGCGUCACACUCAAGGUCCAAAGAUGGUGUGCGCACUUGUCUGUGGUCAUUUCCCAUUAUAAUGAAUGGGAGGCACAGUUUCUACCAAAACACUCGCUGCAGACAAACUUCAUGUCCUAUUUGAAAAAAGUCUGGACCAUGAGUGAGGGCACAAACACAGCUAGGAUAUAUCCAAAUGGCAGGUUGCUCCUCCUUACGGUGUUGCCGGGAGAGCGAUGCGAUUGAGCCAUUGAGCGAUGGGCAGGGUUAACUUGACUUUUUCUCCUGCCUUGGGGGGGGGGGGGGGUUCAUUUAAGAAUGUGGAUAUUUGGGUCAUAUUUGGCGCCCCCUAGAACGUAAACCGUGGGGUGCAGCGUCAUGAUUUGAGUAACUUUUAAUGGCCAUGGGGUGUAGAUUGGCCUGAGCAAAUGUGGUGCCGGUGGAACGAAAGCCUUCGGAGGAGUUAGCGAAAUUCCAAUGUGUGCGGAUCGGCAAAAAAUGCGAAAUAGCUCUUUAACCGUACAUUAUACAGAUACGCGCGCAUUGACUUUUUCGAAGAUCUUAUUGAGAUACACGUGAUUGUCAAAUUUUGUGUCAAUAUGACAAAGCGAUAGGUGUCACACUCAACAAUGUGAAUUUUCACCUUAGGCGACAAGAAAAAAUGGACUUUUUUCUCCUGCCAUGGGGGGGGGGGCGCUCUUUUGGGGAGUAAAAAUUCCUUCACAAAUGUGUUGAUGGCUGGACAUUGCAUCAUCCUAGAAAACUUGGAGGCCAGUGAGGACAAAAAUAAAAAGGUAUAAGACUUUUAAAUAUGUGGAUUUUAGGGUUAUCUUUGGCGCCCCCUAGAACCUAAACCGUGGGGUGCAGCGUUAUGAUUUGAAUAACUUUUAAUGGCCAUGGGGUGUAGAUUGGCCUGAGCAAAUGUGUUGCUGGUGGAACGAAAGCCUUCGGAGGAGUUAGCGAAAUUCCAAUGUGUGCAGAUCGGCAAAAAAUGCGGAAUAACCCUUUAACUGUACAUUUUACAGAUACGCCCGCAUUGACUUUUUUGUAGAUCUUAUUGAGAUACAUGUGUGUGUCAAUUUUUGUGUCAUUUUGCCAAAGCGUAGAGGCGUGACACUCAACAAUGUGUAUUUUCACCUUAGGCGACAAGAAAAAAUGGACUUUUUUCUCCUGCCAUGGGGGGGCGCUCUUUUGGGGAGUAAAAAUUCCUUCACAAAUGUGUUGAUGGCUGGACAUUGCAUCAUCCUAGAAAACUUGAAGGCCAGUGAGGACAAAAAUAAAAAGUUAUAAGUCUUUUAAAUAUGUGGAUUUUAGGGUUAUCUUUGGCGCCACCUAGAACGUGAACCGUGGGGUGCAGCGUCAUGAUUUGAAUAACUUUUAAUGGCCAUGGGGUGUAGAUUGGCCUGAGCAAAUGUGGUGCCGGUGGUACAAAAGCCUUCGGAGGAGUUAGCGAAAUUCCAAUGUGUGCGGAUCGGCAAAAAAUGCGAAAUAACCCUUUAACCGUACAUUUGACAGAUACGCCCGUACUGACUUUUUUGUAGAUCUUAUUGAGAUACAUGUGUGUGUCAAUUUUUGUGUCAUUUUGACAAAGCGUUCAGGCGUGACACUCAACAAUGUGUAUUUUCAUGUAAGGGGACAAGAAAAAACUAGGGCCCCGUUGGGGCACUGGCGGGCUCGAGCUGUGUCCCCCCCCCCCCCCAACGCGCUGCCUCCCCGUCCCAUUCGCGUCCUCUGGCCAUCGUCCUCUCUGGUAAUGCCCAUCACUGCAAAGACCCUUUUCCUUCAUCGGCGUUUGCUGUUCUUCCUGCCAGUGCGUGUUGCUUUCACUUACACUUGCCACAGCCAGCCUCGUGAGUGCCUAGCCUAUUGGAUAUCACUGUCACCUACACAGGACAGUCGUUAUCUUUCUAUUAAUACUUUGUUUUUUAAUUUCACAUUAAUUUCCAUAAUGUCUAAACGACUGGAAAAAACUUGAGCCCCUGCCCCUGUAUAAUCAUGUGCACGUCCCUGUUCUAGCUCCAAGGUGAAUCUUCACUGCUCAUGUUCUCCUCAGAAGCAGUCACCUCACUCCCCUCAGGUUACUGUACACAUGCACCAACUGCCUGCUUCAGGUUUGGAUGGAGCUUCAUGGUUGUCUUUUGGAGAAAUGAGCAGUCAAGUUGUGUUUGAAAUUUCAUUUUUUUCAGGGGCAAAAGGAAGCCUCUGCAUUGUUGUCAAAUAUGUAAAUAGCAUGUUUUUGCAGGUGCUAAAAAACAGACUCUGAGUGUGUGUGUGUGUGUGUGUGUGUGUGUGUCUGUGUGUCUGUGUGUGUGUAUCCUGCAGUACUCUGUACUCCUGCAGUGGCCAAAACGACUUUUAAGAAUGUGGAUAUUUGGGUCAUCUUUGGCGCCCCCUAGAACGUAAACCAUGGGGUGCAGCGGCAUGAUUUUUACAACUUUGAAUGGCCAUGGGGUGUAGAUUGGCCUGAGCAAAUUUGGUGUCAGUGGGACGAAAGCCUUAGGAGGAGUUAGCCACAUUCCAAUGUGUGCGAAUCGGCAAAAAAUGCAAUAUAGCCCUUUAGCCGUACAUUUUACAGAUACGCGCUCAUUGACUUUUUCAUAGAUCUUAUUGAGAUACACGUGUGUGUCAAAUUUUUUGUCAAUAUGACAAAGUGUACAGGCGUGAAUCUCAACAAUGUGUAUUUUCACCUUAGGGGACAAGAAAAAAUUGACUUUUUUCUCCUGCCAUGGGGGGGCGCUCUUUUGGGAAGUAAAAAUUCCUUCACAAAUGUGUUGAUGGCUGGACAUUGCAUCAUCCUAGAAAACUUGGAGGCCAGUGAGGACAAAAAAAAAAGUUAUAAAACUUUUAAGAAUGUGGAUGUUAGGGUUAUUUUUGGCGCCCCCUAGAACCUAAACCAUGGGGUGCAGCAUCAUGAUUUGUACAACUUUGAAUGGCCAUGGAGUGUAGAUUGGCCUGAGCAAAUGUGGUGCCGGUGAACCGAAAGCCUUCGGAGGAGUUAGCGAAAUUCCAAUGUGUGCGGAUCUGCAAAAAAUGCGAAAUAACCCUUUAACCGUACAUUUGACAGAUACGCCCGCACUGACUUUUUUGUAGAUCUUAUUGAGAUACAUAUGUGUGUCAAUUUUUGUGUCAAUAUGACAAAGCAUACAGGCGUGACAGUCAAUAGUGUGAAUUUUCACCUUAGGGGGCGCUAUGGAGCCAUUUUGUAUUUUAUUGUUUGGGCGACUUCAGAAUAUCGAAUUUUUCACCAGGCCCGGUCGUCCUGCCAAAUUUCCUGAGUUUUCGCCAGUGGGAAGUGGGCCAUUUUCCAGUUUAAAGCGGAGGAAAAAUAAUAAUAAUAAUAACACUAGGGCCCCGUUGGGGCACUGGCGGGCCCGAGCCGUGUCGCGCCGCCCCCAACACGACCGCCUCUCCCUACCAAUCGCGUCACACUCAAGGUCCAAAGAUGGUGUGCGCACUUGUCUGUGGUCAUUUACAAUUAUAAUGAAUGGGAGGCGCAGUUUCUACCAAAACGCUCGCCGCAGACAAACUACAUGUCCUAUUUGAAAAGGACUGGACCAUGAGUGAGGGCACAAACACAGCUAGGAUAUAUCCAAAUGGCAAGUUGCUCCUCCUUUCGGUUUUGCCGAGAGAGCGAUGUGUUUGAGUCAUUGAGCGAUGGGCAGGAAAAACUUGACUUUUUCUCCUGCCAUGGGGGGACGCUCUUUUAGGGAGUAAAAAUUCCUUCACAAAUGUGUUGAUGGCUAGACAUUGCAUUAUCCUAGAAAACUUGGAGGCCAGUGAGGACAAAAAUAAAAAGUUAUAAGACUUUUAAGAAUGUGGAUUUUUGGGUUAUCUUUGGCGCCCCCUAGAACAUAAACCGUGGGGUGCAGCGUCAUGAUUUUUACAACUUUGAAUGGCCAUGGGGUGUAGAUUGGCCUGAGUAAAUUUGGUGUCAGUGGAACGAAAGCUUUAGGAGGAGUUAGCCACAUUCCAAUGUGUGCGAAUCAACCAAAAAUGCGAAAUAGCCCUUUAACCGUACAUUUUACAGAUACGCGCCCAUUGACUAUUUCGUAGAUCUUAUUGAGAAACACGUGAUUGUCAAAGUUUGUUUCAAUAUGACAAAGCGUACAGGCGUGACACUCAAUAAGGUGAAUUUUCACCUUAGGGGGGAAGAAAAACUGGACUUUUUUCUCCUGCCAUGGGGGGGGCGCUCUUUUGGGGAGUAAAAAUUCCUUCACAAAUGUGUUGAUGGCUAGACAUUGCAUCAUCCUAGAAAACUUGGAGGCCAGUGAGGACAAAAAUAAAAAGUUAUACGACUUUUAAGAAUGUGGAUUUCUGGGUUAUCUUUGGCGCCCCCUAGAACGUAAACCGUGGGAUGCAGCGUCAUGAUUUGUACAACUUUUAAUGGCCAUGGGGUGUAGAUUGGCCUAAGCAAAUUUGGUGCCGGUGGAACGAAAGCCUUCAGAGGAGUUAGCGAAAUUCCAAUGUGUGCGGAUCGGAAAAAAAUGCGAAAUAGCCCUUUAACCGUACAUUUGACAGAUACGCCCGCACUGACUUUUUUGUAGAUCUUAUUGAGAUACACGUGUGUGUCAAAUUUUGUGUCAUUUUGACAAAGCGUACAGGCGUGACACUCAAUCAUGUGAAUUUUCACCUUAGGGGACAAGAAAAAAAUGACUUUUUUCUCCUGCCAUGGGGGGGCGCUCUUUUGGGGAGAAAAAAUUCCUUCACAAAUGUGUUGAUGGCUGGACAUUGCAUCAUCCUAGAAAACUUGGAGGCCAGUGAGGGCAAAAACAAAAAGUUAUAAGACUUUUAAAUAUGAAGAUUUUAGGGUUAUCUUUGGCGCCCCCUAGAACUCAAACCGUGGGGUGCAGCGUCAUGAUUUGAAUAACUAUUAAUGGCCAUAGGGUGUAGAUUGGCCUGAGCAAAUGUUGUGCCGGUGGAACGAAAGCCUACGGAGGAGUUAGCGAAAUUCCAAUGUGUGCGGAUCGCCAAAAAAUGCGGAAUAACCCUUUAACCGUACAUUUGACAGAUACAUCCGCACUGACUUUUUUGUAGAUCUUAUUGAGAUACAUGUGUGUGUCAAUUUUUGUGUCAUUUUGACAAAGCGUACAGGCGUGACAGUGCAUAGUGUGAGUUUUCACCUUAGGGGGCGCUAUGGAGCCAUUUUGCAUUUUAUUGUUUGGGCGACUUCAGAAUAUAAAGUUUUUCACCAGGCCCGGUCGUCCUGCCAAAUUUCAUGAGUUUUCGCCAGUGGGAAGUGGGCCAUUUUCCAGUUCAAAGGGGAGGAAAAAGAAGAAAGAAAGAAAGAAAGAACUAGGGCCCCGGUGGGGCACUGUCGGGCCCAAGUCGCGUCGCGCCGCCCCCAGCGCGACCGCCUCCCCCCCCGAUCGCGUCACACUCAAGGUCCAAAGAUGGUGUGCGCACUUGUCUGUGGUCAUUUCCCAUUAUAAUGAAUGGGAGGCGCAGUUUCUACCAAAACGGUCGCUGCAGACAAACUACAUGUCCUAUUUGAAAAAAGUCUGGACCAUGAGUGAGGGCACAAACACAGCUAGGAUAUAUCCAAAUGGCAAGUUGCUCCUCCUUACGGUGUUGCCGGGAGAGCGAUGCGAUUGAGCCAUUGAGCGAUGGAAAGGGUUAACUUGACUUUUUCUCCUGCCUUGGGGGGGGGGGGGGGUGGAUUCUUUUAAGAAUGUGGAUAUUUGGGUCAUCCUUGGCGCCCCCUAGAACGUAAACCGUGGGGUGCAGCGUCAUGAUUUUUACAACUUUGAAUGGCCAUGGGAUGUAGAUCGGCUUGAGCAAAUUUGGUGUCGGUGGGACGAAAGCCUUAGGAGGAGUUAGCCACAUUCCAAUGUGUGCGGAUCGGCAAAAAAUGCGGAAUAACCCUUUAACUGUACAUUUUACAGAUACGCCCGCAUUGACUUUUUCAUAGAUCUUAUUGAGAUACACGUGAUUGUUAAAUUUUGUGUCAAUAUGACAAAGCGUACAGGCGUGAAUCUCAACAAUGUGUUUUUUCACCUUAGGGGACAAGAAAAAAUUGACUUUUUUGUCCUGCCAUGGGGGGGCGCUCUUUUGGGGAGUAAAAAUUCCUUCACAAAUGUGUUGAUGGCUGGACAUUGCAUCAUCCUAGAAACCUUGGAGGCCAGUGAGGACAAAAAUAAAAAGUUAUAAGACUUUUAAGAAUGUGGAUUUUUGGGUUAUCUUUGGCGCCCCCUAGAACGUAAAUCGUGGCGUGUAGCACCAUGAUUUGUACAACUUUUAAUGGCCAUGGGGUGUAGAUUGGCCUGAGCAAAUUUGGUGCCGGUGGAACGAAAGCUUUAGGAGGAGUUAGCGAAAUUCCAAUGUGUGCGGAUCGGCAAAAAAUGCGAAAUAGCCCUUUAACCGUACAUUUGUCAGAUACGCCCGCAUUAAUUUUUUUGUAGAUCUUAUUGAGAUACACGUGUGUGUCAGAUUUUGUGUCAUUUUGACAAAGCGUACAGGUGUGACACUCAAUCAUGUGAAUUUUUCACCUUAGGGGGCGCUAUAGAGCCAUUUUGCAUUUGAUUGUUUGGGCGACUUCAGAAUAUCGAAUAUUUCACCAGGCCCGGUCGUCCUGCCAAAUUUCAUGAGUUUUCACCAAUGGGAAGUGGGCCAUGCCCCCCCCCCCAUGGCAGGAGAAAAAAGUCCAUUUUUUUCUUGUCCACUAAGGUGAAAAUACACAUUGUUGAGUGCUACGCCUGUAUGUUUUGUCAAAAUGACACAAAAUUCGACACACACGUGUAUCUCAAUAAGAUCUACAAAAAAGUCAAUGCGGGCGUAUCUGUCAAAUGUACGGUUAAAGGGCUAUUUCGCAUUUUUUGCCGAUUCGCACACAUUGGAAUGUGGCUAACUCCUCCUAAGGCUUUCGUCCCACUGACACCAAAUUUGCUCAGGCCAAUCUACACCCCAUGGCUAUUCAAAGUUGUAAAAAUCAUGACGCUGCACCCCACGGUUUACGCUCUAGGGGGCGCCUAGAGCACAACCUCACCUGUGUGAAUUUACAGUUAUUUUAUCAAAAUCAUUUUGUCAAAAUGACACAAAAUUCAACACACACGUGUAUCUCAAUAAGAUCUACGAAAAAGUAAAUGCAGGCAUAUCUGUCAAAUGUACGGUUAAAGGGCUAUUUCGCAUUUUUUGCCGAUUCGCACACAUUGGAAUGUAGCUAACUCCUCCGAAGGCUUUCGCUCCACCGGCACCAAAUUUGCUCAGGCCAAUCUACACCCCAUGGCCAUUCAAAGUUGUAAAAAUCAUGAUGCUGCACCCCACGGUUUAAGUUCUAGGGGGCGCCAAAGAUGACCCAAAUAUCCAUAUUCUUAAAAGUGUUAUAACAUUUUAUUUUUGUCCUCACUGGCCUCCAUGUUUUCUAGGAUGAUGCAAUGUCCAGCCAUCAACACAUUUGUGAAGGAGUUUUUUCUCGUUAAAAGAGCGCCCCCCAUGGCAGGAGAAUAAAGUCAAGUUUUUCCUGUUCAUCGUUCAAUGGCUCAAACGCAUCGCUCUCUCGGCAAAAGCGAAAGGAGGAGCAACUUGCCAUUUGGAUAUAUCUUAGCUGUGUUUGUGCCCUCACUCAUGGUCCAGACUUUUUUCAAAUAGGACAUGGAGUUUUUCUGCAGCGAGCGUUUUGGUAGAAACUGCGCCUCCCAUUCAUUAUAAUGGUAAAUGACCACAGACAAGUGCGCACACCAUCUUUGGACCUUGAGUGUGACGCGAUUGGGGGGGGGAGGCGGUCGCGCUGGGGGCGGCGCGACACGGCUCGGGCCCGCCAGUGCCCCACCGGGGCCCUAGUUAUUAUUUUUCCUCCGCUUUAAACUGGAAAAUGGCCCACUUCCCACUGGCAAAAACUCAUGAAAUUAGGCAGGACGACCGGGCCUGGUGAAAAAUUCGAUAUUCUGAAGUCGCCCAAACAAUAAAAUGCAAAAUGGCUCCAUAGCGCCCCCUAAGGUGAAAAUUCACACUAUUGAUUGUCACGCCUUAACGCUUUGUCAUAUUGACACAAAAAUUGACACACACAUGUAUCUCAAUAAGAUCUACAAAAAAGUCAGUGCGGGCGUAUCUGUCAAAUGUACGGUUAAAGGGUUUUUUCGCAUUUUUUGCCGAUCCGCACACAUUGGAAUUUCGCUAACUCCUCCGAAGGCUUUCGUUCCACCGGCACCACAUUUGCUCAGGCCAAUCUACACCCCAUGGCCAUUAAAAGUUGUACAAAUCAUGACGCUGCACCCCACGGUUUACGUUCUAGGGGGCGCCAAAGAUAACCCAAAAAUCCACAGUCUUAAAAGUCUUAUAACUUUUUAUUUUUGUCCUCACUGGCCUCCAAGUUUUCUAGGAUGAUGCAAUGUCCAGCCAUCAACACAUUUGUGAAGGAAUUUUUACUCCCCAAAAGAGCGCCCCCCAUGGCAGGAGAAAAAAGUCCAUUUUUUCUUGUCCCAUAAGGUGAAAAUACACAUUGUUGAGUGUCACGCCUGUACGCUUUGUCAUAUUGAAACAAAAUUUGACAAUCACGUGUAUCUCAAUAAGAUCUACGAAAAAGUCAAUGCGCACGUAUCUGUAAAAUGUACGGUUUAAGGGCUAUUACGCAUUUUUGAUCGAUUCGCACACAUUGGAAUGUGGCUAACUCCUCCUAAAGCUUUCGUUCCACCGGCACCACAUUUGCUCAGGCCAAUCUACACCCCAUGGCCAUUAAAAGUUGUACAAAUCAUGACGCUGCACCCCACGGUUUACGUUCUAGGGGGCGCCAAAGGUAACCCAAAAAUCCACAUUCUUAAAAGUCUUAUAACUUUUCAUUUUUGUCCUCACUGGCUUCCAAGUUUUCUAGGAUGAUGCAAUGUCCAGCCAUCAACACAUUUGUGAAGGAAUUUUUACUCCCCAAAAGAGCACCCCCCCCCCAUGGCAGGAGAAAAAGUCAAGUUUUUCCUGCCCAUCGCUCAAUGGCUCAAACACAUGUCAUGUGUUCAAACUCCUCCGAAAGGAGGAGCAACUUGCCAUUUGGAUAUAUCCUAGCUGUGUUUGUGCCCUCACUCAUGGAUCAGACUUUUUUCAAAUAGGACAUGUAGUUUGUCUGCAGCGAGUGUUUUGGUAGAAACUGCGCCUCCCAUUCAUUAUAAUGGGAAAUGACCACAGACAAGUGCGCACACCAUCUUUGGACCUUGAGAGUGACGCGAUCGGGAGGGGGAGGAGGUCGCGCUGGGGGCGGCGCAACGCGGCUCGGGCCCGACAGUGCCCCACCGGGGCCCUAGUUCUUCUUAUUUUUCCUCCCCUUUGAAGGGGAAAAUGGCCCACUUCCCACUGGCGAAAACUCAUGAAAUUUGGCAGGACGACCGGGCCUGGUGAAAAAUUCGAUAUUCUGAAGUCGCCCAAACAAUAAAAUGCAAAAUGGCUCCAUAGCGCCCCCUAAGGUGAAAAUUUACACUAUUGACUGUCACGCCUGUACGCUUUGUCAUAUUGACACAAAAUUUGACACACACAUGUAUCUCAAUAAGAUCUACAAAAAAAUCAGUGCGGGCGUAUCUAUCAAAUGUACGGUUAAAGGGUUAUUUCGCAUUUUUUGCCGAUCCGCACACAUUGGAAUUUCGCUAACUCCUCCGAAGGCUUUCGUUCCACCGGCACCACAUUUGCUCAGGCCAAUCUACACCCCAUGGCCAUGAAAAGUUGUACAAAUCAUGACGCUGCACCCCACGGUUUACGUUCUAGGGGGCGCCAAAGAUAACCCAAAAAUCCACAGUCUUAAAAGUCUUAUAACUUUUUAUUUUUGUCCUCACUGGCCUCCAAGUUUUCUAGGAUGAUGCAAUGUCCAGCCAUCAACACAUUUGUGAAGGAAUUUUUACUCCCCAAAAGAGCGCCCCCCCAUUGCAGGAGAAAAAAGUCCAUUUUCUCUUGUCCCAUAAGGUGAAAAUACACAUUGUUGAGUGUCACGCCUGUACGCUUUGUCAUAUUGAAACAAAAUUUGACAAUCACGUGUAUCUCAAUAAGAUCUACGAAAAAGUCAAUGCGCACGUAUCUGUAAAAUGUACGGUUUAAGGGCUAUUACGCAGUUUUGAUCGAUUCGCACACAUUGGAAUGUGGCUAACUCCUCCUAAAGCUUUCGUUCCACCGGCACCACAUUUGCUCAGGCCAAUCUACACCCCAUGGCCAUUAAAAGUUGUACAAAUCAUGACGCUGCACCCCACGGUUUACGUUCUAGGGGGCGCCAAAGGUAACCCAAAAAUCCACAUUCUUAAAAGUCUUAUAACUUUUCAUUUUUGUCCUCACUGGCUUCCAAGUUUUCUAGGAUGAUGCAAUGUCCAGCCAUCAACACAUUUGUGAAGGAAUUUUUACUCCCCAAAAGAGCGCCCCCCCCCCCCCCCCCCAUGGCAGGAGAAAAAGUCAAGUUUUUCCUGCCCAUCGCUCAGUGGCUCAAACACAUGUCAUGUGUUCAAACUCCUCCGAAAGGAGGAGCAACUUGCCAUUUGGAUAUAUCCUAGCUGUGUUUGUGCCCUCACUCAUGGAUCAGACUUUUUUCAAAUAGGACAUGUAGUUUGUCUGCAGCGAGUGUUUUGGUAGAAACUGCGCCUCCCAUUCAUUAUAAUGGGAAAUGACCACAGACAAGUGCGCACACCAUCUUUGGACCUUGAGAGUGACGCGAUCGGGAGGGGGAGGCGGUCGCGCUGGGGGCGGCGCAACGCGGCUCGGGCCCGACAGUGCCCCACCGGGGCCCUAGUUCUUCUUAUUUUUCCUCCCCUUUGAAGGGGAAAAUGGCCCACUUCCCACUGGCGAAAACUCAUGAAAUUUGGCAGGACGACCGGGCCUGGUGAAAAAUUCGAUAUUCUGAAGUCGCCCAAACAAUAAAAUGCAAAAUGGCUCCAUAGCGCCCCCUAAGGUGAAAAUUUACACUAUUGACUGUCACGCCUGUACGCUUUGUCAUAUUGACACAAAAUUUGACACACACAUGUAUCUCAAUAAGAUCUACAAAAAAAUCAGUGCGGGCGUAUCUAUCAAAUGUACGGUUAAAGGGUUAUUUCGCAUUUUUUGCCGAUCCGCACACAUUGGAAUUUCGCUAACUCCUCCGAAGGCUUUCGUUCCACCGGCACCACAUUUGCUCAGGCCAAUCUACACCCCAUGGCCAUUAAAAGUUGUACAAAUCAUGACGCUGCACCCCACGGUUUACGUUCUAGGGGGCGCCAAAGAUAACCCAAAAAUCCACAGUCUUAAAAGUCUUAUAACUUUUUAUUUUUGUCCUCACUGGCCUCCAAGUUUUCUAGGAUGAUGCAAUGUCCAGCCAUCAACACAUUUGUGAAGGAAUUUUUACUCCCCAAAAGAGCGCCCCCCAUGGCAGGAGAAAAAAGUCCAUUUUUUCUUGUCCCAUAAGGUGAAAAUACACAUUGUUGAGUGUCACGCCUGUACGCUUUGUCAUAUUGAAACAAAAUUUGACAAUCACGUGUAUCUCAAUAAGAUCUACGAAAAAGUCAAUGCGCACGUAUCUGUAAAAUGUACGGUUUAAGGGCUAUUACGCAUUUUUGAUCGAUUCGCACACAUUGGAAUGUGGCUAACUCCUCCUAAAGCUUUCGUUCCACCGGCACCACAUUUGCUCAGGCCAAUCUACACCCCAUGGCCAUUAAAAGUUGUACAAAUCAUGACGCUGCACCCCACGGUUUACGUUCUAGGGGGCGCCAAAGGUAACCCAAAAAUCCACAUUCUUAAAAGUCUUAUAACUUUUCAUUUUUGUCCUCACUGGCUUCCAAGUUUUCUAGGAUGAUGCAAUGUCCAGCCAUCAACACAUUUGUGAAGGAAUUUUUACUCCCCAAAAGAGCACCCCCCCCCCAUGGCAGGAGAAAAAGUCAAGUUUUUCCUGCCCAUCGCUCAAUGGCUCAAACACAUGUCAUGUGUUCAAACUCCUCCGAAAGGAGGAGCAACUUGCCAUUUGGAUAUAUCCUAGCUGUGUUUGUGCCCUCACUCAUGGAUCAGACUUUUUUCAAAUAGGACAUGUAGUUUGUCUGCAGCGAGUGUUUUGGUAGAAACUGCGCCUCCCAUUCAUUAUAAUGGGAAAUGACCACAGACAAGUGCGCACACCAUCUUUGGACCUUGAGAGUGACGCGAUCGGGAGGGGGAGGCGGUCGCGCUGGGGGCGGCGCAACGCGGCUCGGGCCCGACAGUGCCCCACCGGGGCCCUAGUUCUUCUUAUUUUUCCUCCCCUUUGAAGGGGAAAAUGGCCCACUUCCCACUGGCGAAAACUCAUGAAAUUUGGCAGGACGACCGGGCCUGGUGAAAAAUUCGAUAUUCUGAAGUCGCCCAAACAAUAAAAUGCAAAAUGGCUCCAUAGCGCCCCCUAAGGUGAAAAUUUACACUAUUGACUGUCACGCCUGUACGCUUUGUCAUAUUGACACAAAAUUUGACACACACAUGUAUCUCAAUAAGAUCUACAAAAAAAUCAGUGCGGGCGUAUCUAUCAAAUGUACGGUUAAAGGGUUAUUUCACAUUUUUUGCCGAUCCGCACACAUUGGAAUUUCGCUAACUCCUCCGAAGGCUUUCGUUCCACCGGCACCACAUUUGCUCAGGCCAAUCUACACCCCAUGGCCAUUAAAAGUUGUACAAAUCAUGACGCUGCACCCCACGGUUUACGUUCUAGGGGGCGCCAAAGAUAACCCAAAAAUCCACAGUCUUAAAAGUCUUAUAACUUUUUAUUUUUGUCCUCACUGGCCUCCAAGUUCUCUAGGAUGAUGCAAUGUCCAGCAAUUAACACAUUUGUGAAGGAAUUUUUACUCGCCAAAAGAGCGCCCCCCCAUGGCAGGAGAAAAAAGUCCAUUUUUUCUUGUCCCAUAAGGCGAAAAUACACAUUGUUGAGUGUCACGCCUGUACGCUUUGUCAUAUUGACACAAAAUUUGACAAUCACGUGUAUCUCAAUAAGAUCUACGAAAAAGUCAAUGCGCGCGUAUCUGUCAAAUGUACGGUUAAAGGUCGAUUUCGCAUUUUUUGCCAAUUCGCACACAUUGGAAUUUCGCUAACUCCUCCGAAAGCUUUCGUCCCAUCAGCACCACAUUUGCUCAGGCCAAUCUACACCCCAUGGCCAUUCAAAGUUGUAAAAAUCAUGAUGCUGCACCCCACGGUUUACGUUCUAGUGGGCGCCAAAGAUAACCCAAAAAUCCACAUUUUCAAAAGUCUUAUAACUUUUUAUUUUUGUCCUCACUGGCCUCCAAGUUUUCUAGGAUAAUGCAAUGUUCAGCCAUCAACACAAUUGUGAAGGAAUUUUUACUCCCCAAAAGAGCGCCCCCCCCAUGGCCGGAGAAAAAGUCAAGUUGUUCCUGCCCAUCGCUCAAUGGCUUAAACGCAUCGCUCUCUCGGCAAAACCGAAAGGAGGAGCAACUUGCCAUUUGGAUAUAUCUUAGCUGUGUUUGUGCCUUCACUCAUUUUCCAGACUUUUUUCAAAUAGGACAUGGAGUUUGUCUGCAGCGAGCGUUUUGGUAGAAACUGCGCCUCCCAUUCAUUAUAAUAGUAAAUAACCACAGACAAGUGCGCACACCAUCUUUGGACCUUGAGUGUGACGCGAUCGGGAGGGGUAGGCGGUCGCGCUGGGGGCGGCGCGACACGGCUCGGGCCCGCCAGUGCCCCAACGGGGCCCUAGUUUCUUCUUUUUCCUCCCCUUUGAACUGGAAAAUGGCCCACUUCCCACUGGCGAAAACUCAUGAAAUUUGGCAGGACGACCGGGCCUGGUGAAAAAUUUGAUAUUCCGAAGUCGCCCAAACAAGAAAAUGCAAAAUGGCUCCAUAGCGCCCCCUAAGGUGAAAAUUCACACUAUUGACUGUCACGCCUGUACGCUUUGUCAAAAUGACACAAAAAUUGACACACACAUGUAUCUCAAUAAGAUCCACGAAAAAGUCAAUGCGCGCGUAUCUGUCAAAUGUACAGUUAAAGGGUUAUUCCGCAUUUUUUGCCAAUCCGCACACAUUGGAAUGUUGCUAACUCCUCCUAAGGCUUUCGUUCCACUGGCAUCACAUUUGCUCAGGCCAAUCUACACCCCAUGGCCAUUAAAAGUUAUUCAAAUCAUGACGCUGCACCCCACGGUUUAGGUUCUAGGGGGCGCCAAAGAUAACCCUAAAAUCCACAUAUUUAAAAGUCUUAUAACUUUUUAUUUUUUCCCUCACUGGCCUCCAAGUUUUCUAGGAUGAUGCAAUGUCCAGCCAUCAAUACAUUUGUGAAGGAAUUUUUACUCCCCAAAAGAGCGCCCCCCCCCCCCAUGGCAGGAGAAAAAAGUCCAUUUUUUCUUGUCCCCUAAGGUGAAAAUACACAUUGUUGAGUGUCACGCCUGUACGCUUUGUCAUAUUGACACAAAAUAUGACAAUCACGUGUAUCUCAAUAAAAUCUACGAAAAAGUCAAUGCGCACGUAUCUGUAAAAUGUACGGUUAAAGGACUAUUUCGCAUUUUUUGCCGAUUCGCACACAUUGGAAUGUGGCUAACUCCUCCUAAGGCUUUCAUCCCACUGACAUCACAUUUGCUCAGGCCAAUCUACACCCUAUGGCCAUUAAAAGUUAUUCAAAUCAUGACGCUGCACCCCACGGUUUAGGUUCUAGGGGGCGCCAAAGAUAACCCUAAAAUCCACAUAUUUAAAAGUCUUAUAACUUUUUAUUUUUUCCCUCACUGGCCUCCAAGUUUUCUAGGAUGAUGCAAUGUCCAGCCAUCAAUACAUUUGUGAAGGAAUUUUUACUCCCCAAAAGAGCGCCCCCCCAUGGCAGGAGAAAAAAGUCCAUUUUUUCUUGUCCCCUAAGGUGAAAAUACACAUUGGUGAGUGUCACGCCUGUACGCUUUGUCAUAUUGACACAAAAUUUGACAAUCACGUGUAUAUUAAAAAGAUCUACGAAAGAGUCAACGCACGCGUAUCUGUCAAAUGUACGGUUAAAGGGCUAUUUUGCAUUUUUUGCCGAUCCGCACACAUUGGAAUUUCGCUAACUCCUCCUAAAGCCUUCGUCCCAUCGGCACCAAAUUUGCUCAGGCCAAUCCACACCCUAUGGCCAUUCAAAGAUGUAAAAAUCAUGACGCUGCACCCCACGGUUUACGUUCUAGGGGGCGCCAAAGAUAACCCAAAAAUCCACAUUUUCAAAAGUCUUAUAACUUUUUAUUUUUGUCCUCACUGGCCUCCAAGUUUUCUAGGAUGAUGCAAUGUCCAGCCAUCAACACAAUUGUGAAGGAAUUUUUACUCCCCAAAAGAGCGCCCCCCCAUGGCCGGAGAAAAAGUCAAGUUUUUCCUGCCCAUCGCUCAAUGGCUUAAACGCAUCGCUCUCUCGGCAAAACCGAAAGGAGGAGCAACUUGCCAUUUGGAGAUAUCCUAGCUGUGUUUGUGCCCUCACUCAUGGUCCAGACUUUUUUCAAAUAAGACAUGGAGUUUUUCUGCAGCGAGCGUUUUGGUAGAAACUGCGCCUCCCAUUCAUUAUAAUGGUAAAUGACCACAGACAAGUGCGCACACCAUCUCUGGACCUUGAGUGUGCCGCGAUCGGAAGGAGGGGGCCGUCGCGAUGGGGGCGGCACAACAUGGCUCGGCCCGCCAGUGCCCCACCGGGGCCCUAGUUAGGGCCCGAGCGUAGCUGCUAAGCAGCCGCGAGAGCCCUCUUGUUCCUGAAGGAUUCUUCUUUCUUAGGGCCCGAGCGUAGCUGCUAAGCAGCUGCGAGAGCCCUCUUGUUCCUUCAUAGUCGAAAAAUCUUCUUUCUUCUUUUUCCUCCCCUUUGAACUGGAAAAUGGCCCACUUCCCACUGGCGAAUGCUCAUGAAAUUUGGCAGGACGACCGGGCCUGGUGAAAAAUUCGAUAUUCUGAAGUCGCCCAAACAAUAAAAUGCAAAAUGGCUCCAUAGCGCCCCCUAAGGUGAAAAUUCACACUAUUGACUGUCACGCCUGUACGCUUUGUCAUAUUGACACAAAAAUUGACACACACAUGUACCUCAAUAGGAUCUACAAAAAAGUCAGUGCGGGCGUAUCUGUCAAAUGUACGGUUAAAGGGUUAUUUCGCAUUUUUUGCCAAUCCGCACACAUUGGAAUUUCGCUAACUCCUCCGAAGGCUUUCGUUCCACCGGCACCAAAUUUGCUCAGGCCAAUCUACACCCCAUGGCCAUUAAAAGUUGUACAAAUCAUGAAGCUGCACCCCACGGUUUAGGUUCUAGGGGGCGCCAAAGAUAACCCAAAAAUCCACAGUCUUAUAACUUUUUAUUUUUGUCCUCACUGGCCUCCAAGUUCUCUAGGAUGAUGCAAUGUCCAGCCAUCAACACAUUUGUGAAGGAAUUUUUACUCCCCAAAAGAGCGCCCCCCCAUGGCAGGAGAAAAAAGUCCAUUUUUUCUUGUCCCCUAAGGUGAAAAUACACAUUGUUGAGUGUCACGCCUGUACGCUUUGUCAUAUUGACACAAAAUUUGACAAUCACGUGUAUCUCAAUAAGAACUACGAAAAAGUCAAUGCGCCCGUAUCUGUAAAAUGUACGGUUAAAGGGCUAUUUUGCAUUUUUUGCCGAUUCGCACACAUUGCAAUGUGGCUAACUCCUCCUAGAGCUUUCAUCCCACCGGCACUAAAUUUUCUCAGGCCAAUCUACACCCCAUGGCCAUUUAAAGUUGUACAAAUCAUGACGCUGCACCCCACGGUUUACGUUCUAGGGGGCGCCAAAGAUGACCCAAAUAUCCACAUUUCUAAAAGUCUUAACUUUUUAUUUUUGUCCUCACUGGCCUCCAAGUUUUCUAGGAUGAUGCAAUGUCCAGCCAUCAACACAUUUGUGAAGGAAUUUUUACUCCCCAAAAGAGCGCCCCCCAUGGCAGGAGAAAAAGUCAAAGUUUUUCCUGCCCAUCGCUCAAUAGCUCAAGCGCAUCGCUCUCCCGCAAAAACCGAAAGGAGGAGCAACUUGCCAUUUGGAUAUAUACUAGCUGUGUUUGCGCCCUCACUCAUGGUCCAGACUUUUUUCAAAAAGGACACGUAGUUUUUCUGCAGCGAGCGUUUAGGUAGAAACUGUGCCUCCCAUUCAUUAUAAUGGUAAAUGACCACAGACAAGUGCCACACCAUCUUUGGACCUUGAGUAUGACAGGAUCAGGAGGGGGAGGCAGUCGCGCUGGGGGCGGCGCGACACGGCUCGGGCCCGCCAGUGCCUCAACGGGGCCCUAGUUUUUAGGGCCCGAGCGUAGCUGCUAAGCAGCUGCGAGGCCCUGUUGUUCCUGUAGUGGUUUUUCUUUGUUUCUUUUUUCUUUUUCCUCCCCUUUGAACUGGAAAAUGGCCCACUUCCCACUGGCGAAAACUCAUGAAAUUUGGCAGGACGACCGGGCCUGGUGAAAAAUUUGAUAUUCUGAAGUCGCCCAAACAAUAAAAUGCAAAAUGGCUCCAUAGCGCCCCCUAAGAUGAAAAUUCACACUAUUGACUGUCACGGCUGUACGCUUUGUCAUAUUGACACAAAGAUUGACACACACAUGUAUCUCAAUAAGAUCUACAAAAAAGUCAGUGCGGGCGUAUCUGUCAAAUUUACGGUUAAAGGGUUAUUUCGCAUUUUUUGCUGAUCCACACACAUCGGAAUUUCGCUAACUCCUCUGAAGACUUUUGUUCCAUCGGCACAACAUUUGCUCAGGUCAAUCUACACCCCAUGGCCAUUAAAAGUUAUUCAAAUCAUGACGCUGCACCCCACGGUUUAGGUUCUAGGGGGCGCCAAAGAUAACCCUAAAAUCCACAUAUUUAAAAGUCUUAUAACUUUUUAUUUUCGUCCUCGCUGGCCUCCAAGUUUUCUAGGAUGAUGCAAUGUCCAGCCAUCAACACAUUUGUGAAGGAAUUUUUACUCCCCAAAAGAGCGCCCCCCCCAUGGCAGGAGAAAAAAGUCCAUUUUUUCUUGUCCACUAAGGUGAAAAUACACAUUGUUGAGUGCUACGCCUGUAUGUUUUGUCAAAAUGACACAAAAUUCGACACACACGUGUAUCUCAAUAAGAUCUACAAAAAAGUCAAUGCGGACGUAUCUGUCAAAUGUACGAUUAAAGGGCUAUUUCGCAUUUUUUGCCGAUCUGCACACAUUGGAAUUUCGCUAACUCCUCCUAAGGCUUUCGUUCCACCGGCACCAAAUUUGCUCAGGCCAAUCUACACCCCAUGGCCAUUAAAAGUUAUUCAAAUCAUGAUGCUGCACCCCACGGUUUACGUUCUAGGGGGCGCCAAAGAUGACCCAAAUAUCCACAUUCUUAAAAGAAUCCACAUCCCCCCCCCAUCCCCCCCCCAUCCCCCAUCCCCCAUGGCAGGAGAAACAGUCAAGUUUUUCCUGCCCAUCACUCAAUGGCUCAAUCGCAUUGCUCUCCCGGCAACACCGUAACGAGGAGCAACUUGCCGUUGGGAUAUAUCCUAGCUGUGUUUGUGCCCUCACUCAUGGUCCAGACUUUUUUCAAAUAGGACAUGUAAUUUGUCUGCAGCGAGUGUUUUGGUAGAAACUGCGCCUCCCAUUCAUUAUAAUGGGAAAUGACCACAGACAAGUGUGCACACCAUCUUUGGACCUUGAGUGUGACGCGAUCGGGAGGGGGAGGCGGUCGCGCUGGGGGCGGCGCAACGCGGCUCGGGCCCGACAGUGCCCCACCGGGGCCCUAGUUUAUUUUUCCUCCCCUUUGAACUGGAAAAUGGCCCACUUCCCACUGGCGAAAACUCAUGAAAUUUGGCAGGACGACCGGGCCUGGUGAAAAAUUCGAUAUUCUGAAGUCGCCCAAACAAUAAAAUGCAAAAUGGCUCCAUAGCGCCCCCUAAGGUGAAAAUUCACACUAUUGACUGUCACGCCUGUACGCUUUGUCAUAUUGACACAAAAUUUUACACACGUGUAUCUCAAUAAGGUCUACGCAAAAGUCAGCGCGGGCGUAUCUGUAAAAUGUACGGUUAAAGGGCUAUUUCGCAUUUUUUGCAGAUCCGCACACAUUGGAAUUUCGCUAACUCCUCCGAAGGCUUUCGUUCCACCGGCACCAAAUUUGCUCAGGCCAAUCCACACCCCAUGGCCAUUAAAAGUUGUACAAAUCAUGAUGCUGCACCCCACGGUUUAGGUUCUAGGGGGCGCCAAAGAUAACCCAAAAAUCCACAUUCUUAAAAGUCUAAUAACUUUUUAUUUUUGUCCUCACUGGCCUCCAAGUUCUCUAGGAUGAUGCAAUGUCCAGCCAUCAACACAUUUGUGAAGGAAUUUUUACUCCCCAAAAGAGCGCCCCCCCCAUGGCAGGAGAAAAAAGUCCAUUUUUUCUUGUCCCCUAAGGUGAAAAUACACAUUGUUGAGUGUCACGCCUGUACGCUUUGUCAUAUUGACACAAAAUUUGACAAUCACGUGUAUCUCAAUAAAAUCUACGAAAAAGUCAAUGCGCACGUAUCUGUAAAAUGUACGGUUAAAGGACUAUUUCGCAUUUUUUGCCGAUUCGCACACAUUGGAAUGUGGCUAACUCCUCCUAAGGCUUUCAUCCCACUGACACCAAAUUUGCUCAGGCCAAUCUACACCCCAUGGCCAUUCAAAGAUGUAAAAAUCAUGACGCUGCACCCCACGGUUUACGUUCUAGGGGGCGCCAAAGAUGACACAAAAAUCCACAUUCUUAAAAGUCGUUUUGGCCACUGAGUGUUUUUUAGCACCUUUUAGCACCUGCAAAAACAUGCUAUUUACAUAUUUGACAAGAAUGCAGAGGCUUCCUUUUGCCCCUGAAAAAAAUCAAAUUUCAAACACAACUUGACUGCUCAUUUCUCCAAAAGACAACCAUGAAGCUCCAUCCAAACCUGAAGCAGGCAGUUGGUGCAUGUGUACAGUAACCUGAGGGGAGUGAGGUGACUGCUUCUGAGGAGAACAUGAGCAGUGAAGAUUCACCUUGGAGCUAGAACAGGGACGUGCACAUGAUUAUACAGGGGCAGGGGCUCAAGUCUUUUCCAGUCGUUUAUACAAUAUGGAAAUUAAUGUGAAAUUAAAAACAAAGUAUUAAUAGAAAGGUAAUGACUGUCCUGUGUAGGUGACAGUGAUAUCCAAUAGGCUAGGCACUCACGAGGCUGGCUGUGGCAAGUGUAAGUGAAAGCAACACGCACUGGCAGGAAGAACAGCAAACACCGAUGAAGGAAAAGGGUCUUUGCAGUGAUGGGCGUCACCAGAGAGGGCGACAGCCAGAGGACGUGAAUGGGACAGAAUGCGCUGGGGGCGGCACGACGCGGCUCGGGCCUGCCAGUGCCCCAACGGGGCACUAGUUUUACCUUGUUUCCUAUAAUGUGUCAUGUUUGAGUUGCAGAGGAGCUGAAAGCAUAGUGUUCGUAGGUAGCCCAUUAGCAUUAACACUGGGGCCCGUUUUAACAAAUUAUGCUAAGUGUCUGUAACAAAAGUGUUUCUUGUCAAAGGGGACGUGCUGUGUGUUGUAGCACCGCUAAACUGUUUACCUCAGGUCUUGGAGUAUGUCACUUUAUCCUAGUUGUAGAAGUCCCGCAAACAUUGUGUUUGCUGGUAGUCUGUUAAUAUCUACAGUAGCACCAAUCCUAUUUACUUUCAUGUUGACUGGGCCCCAUUUCUAGUUAUCUAAAUUAUUUAUCUUUAUCAUAUCUAAAUUAAAUUGGAAGCACCAUUGUUGUUUCGAAAAAAAAAAAGCCUGCAUAGUGGUGUUGUUGACUGAUAAAGCAGCUUGGAAAGUUUACAAAUCAAAUAAAUCAGUAAAACAGAUAUUUUAAACCGAGUAAUAUCUUAAUACCACACUCUCCUUCUCUUCAUUUCAGGUACCGCAAACUGUAUAACAGAGAGUCCAGAGCAUGGAGUUUGUGGGGCCUUUAUGGUGUACGUUUUUUUUUAAAUAGUAGUGUAAUGAAAAAACACAUGUAUAAAACCGCAUUUACAUAUAGAUAAAUAGCAUUUUUAAAAAGCACUUCAAUAUUCUCCCAACACAAGAACUGGGAAUCACUACUCUGAGCCCCUACGCUUCAUAAUGGCAGAUCACAAACUGUCUAUAUGUAGCAAACCAGGACUACUAGUUACCCUCUCUAAGACCAGGGCUGUCUGCAAUAGCUCCCAAGUUCCAGAACCUUCUAGCCAGCCUGUCCAUCCAUAUUUGGUGGACACAGCUCAUCCAGAUUCAGUCUUUUAAUACAGGCCUAGGAAUGCAAAAAUCAGAAAACCACAGUCUUAUAUUUAGAAAUGGUUUUCUCUCAUCUUAUGUCUGUGAAAUUAUCACAUUAGUCAUGCAUACCUGAUCAUCUGCCACUCUCCGUGCUUGAUGCUCUCCACAUGGGUAAGUUCCUCCAGUGCUAAAGCACAGGGACCUUGGUCUCUUUGUUGAUCUCUCCCCCGGUCUCUGCCACGGCCCGGAGCCUAGGCUUUGCUGUCUGGCUUGUGGUGGCCUGCCUCUUGGACCUUCUCUAACCUUGCUGUGACUGGGGCUGGGGUGUAUUCAUCCUCACAGUCAGGACUAUGUUCCUGAAAAAGUGCUAGAUAGCAUUGUAUUGUUUUUAACUUGCCACAGUCUGCUUCUGUAAGCCUGUAGGCAGGAAAGCUAGCUGCUGUGGCUAUACUGGCAAACUGGAGAGGGUCUCUCGCCCCCUGCACCUGUGGACGCAUGAGCUCCAGGACAAGUCGCUCCAGGGUCUUCAUCACGUGGGAGGUGAGGACGACUGGCUGGUAGUCGUUGAGCUCCGACGGGCGUCCCUUCUUAGGCACGGGAACGAUGCAGGAUGUCUUCCACAGGGAGGGAACCUUCCCUAAGCAAAGGCUGAGGUUGAAGACGUGCUGGAGAGGGGCUCCCAGUUCAGCAGCACAGGCACAGAGGAGUCUGGGGGGAGACCUGGUCCAGGCCAACCGCCUUCCUGGGACGCAGCUUCCUUAGUGCCGUCAUCACCUGGUCAGCACUGAUGAGUGGGGGGUUGGAGGUGUCGGAUGAGGCAGGGGGUCCAGGUUGAGAGGGGGGAGAGGUGGGGGGAGGGGAGGAGGCAUGGUGGUGGCUCAGAAGUUCAGGGGACUGGAGGGAGGCAAGGGGCUGGGAAGGGGAGCUGGCAGUGGGGGCAGGGGAGCUAAACCUGUUGAAGAAGGUGUCAAGUUCAUCAGCUUGCUCCGCAUUCAUUCUCACUGCACUACUCCUCUUGUUGUACUCUGUGAUGGCCUUCAUCCCAUUCCAGACCUCUCGCAUCUGGUUGUUACUGAGCUGGUUCUCCAGCUUCUUCCUCUAGGCCUCCUUAGCCUUCCUCAGACAGAGUCUUAGGUCAUGUUGAGCCUCCCUCAUCUCCUCUUUGUCCUUGCUCAUGAACGCCAUCUUCUUCCUGUUCAGGACAGUCUUGACCUCCUUGGUCACCCAGGGUUUGUUAUUGGUAAAGCAUCUGACUGUCCAGAAGUUCAGGUAGUCUCCCCAUGCGAGCCCACUAUUACAUCCCAGUCUGUUGUCUAGAAGCAGUCCCUGAGAGACUCCUCAUCUUCAGGGGACCACCUCCUGACGUAAUAGGCAGCCUCUUCACCAGGGGAAUGUAGGUGGGCUUGAGUAGCACAAGGUUGUGGUCUGAUCUUCCCAACGGGGGGAGCGGAGUGGCUACAUAUGCCUCCUUAGCAUUGGUGUAGAACAAAUCAAUGGUUCUGUUCUGUCCUGGUGUCUUCCUGGUGUUCUUCCUGGCAGUCUACACACUGGUGGAGUGCUGGUAGUGUGGUACCCAGGGUGACGAGGUUGAAGUCUCCAGAUAUGAUGAGCAGAGCCUCCGGGUGCUGGGUCUGAAGAGCCGAGGUGGUGGUGAAGAUGGACUCCAGUGCAGUGUCUGGGUGUGCCCUCGGUGGAAUGAAAUGCCACAGUGCGGGUUGCACCACCCUGUGCUGCGCCGCUGGCGGGCACAAAAACAGAGCUCUCAGGCUCUCACUCUGACACCUCUUCACACAGAGAUAUUUUUUAGUGCCUCUGAAGUGUGUUGUGUUUACUUUCAAUUCUCAAUCAAAGUUUAGACUCUAAUGUUCACAGAACUGGGUCGGAUGUCUGUUUUAGUGUAAAUGUUACCUUUUAUGUCGAUUUUAAUCUGUUUUGGUGUCUCUGUCUGGACAUUUAAAUUUUGCGACCACUACCGAAUCAAAGCUUUGCAGUGUAGCGGAGAAAGGCUCCGUACGGCCAUGUCUGUAGUCAUUUGAAAGGGGAGAAGCUACUGAAUCGAUUGGUAUCAAUCUUUCCAAAUGACUACAUUUCCCAGCUUUGAAAAAAGCCAGGCGUAAAGUGUUCGUAAUCUGUGCGCUUUUAGGUGCAGCGCCCCACGGACGAAGGCAGGAUGCUGCAUCGCACACUGAUCACUCAGGACUCUCCUGUAAACUUUCUCCACCACUUAUAAAACUUCUCUUGAGUACUUUUCAACCAGGAAAAGAAACAUUCAACUCUUAGAGGGAUAUGGCGGACAUUUUAUUAGAAAUUCAGCGGGGCUCUGUCGGUGAAUUCGAGGACUCGUCUGACUCAGUAAUGGCGUCUGCUCCGAGGAGGAGGCAUUGUUUACAUUAGAAGUGGACCCAGUUUACUUAUAAGUAUUUGCAUUUAUCUAUAAGGCCGUGUUGUGUAAAUUGAUAUGCAUGGAACACCUUUGUCAUAAAACUUUAAACACUGUAGUAAGUAUGGCAAUCCUAUAGCAUUGAAUAUUACUGCAGUUUCACUAUAUCUGUUUAUUUCAGGCUUACUUUGCUUGCAGAUACUGCAUUUUAUCUGUCUUCGAAUAUAUUCUUUAUGAGAAAAAAAAAUGAAGUACAUAUAAAUGCAAACAAAAUAUAGUAGAGGUCAUGGCUUCUCAAUUUAGUGAAUUAGUUUACAUAUAUCCACAACUUUUGUGUCCUUCAGAUGUUAUUUAUUUUUGUUCUGCAUAGUAAUUGAUCACCAUUUUCACAGCCACCAAGAAGAGUGGAGUGAGGCACAUCCACCCCCACCCCCCAUCAGGGCUUUUCACACCUUCAGUACUCCCUGCACCAGACGCCCCACCCCCACCCUUACCUGCAAGAAAGGUGACAUUGCUUGUAUGAAGGUUUGUGUACUGAUCAUUUGUUUGAUUCUGGUCUCUAAAAGAAAUAAUACACUAUUUACUGCUUCAAUUAUGCAUUUAUAUGUAUUCAUUACAUUUAAUUUACUCUACCUGUGUUUGCUGUUGCUUUAUAUUGUUAUAUACUGUUUUUAAUUUACAAUAAUUGUUGCACUUUUACUUUUUAUUUAACAUUGUUUGCUUGUUUCUCUUUUUGCACUUUAUUCAAAUAAAAAUACUCCCUGUGAAGAAAGAAAUGUAGAAGUUCCUGUUAUUUUUCAGUAUUCUGUAUUACAUAUAAACAAAUAUAUUGUGCAGAAUGGUAGAAAUUGAUGAGGCAAAAGGUAAAUUUCAUAUCUAAAAGCUCCAAUAAGUAGUAGGAGACUAGUCUUAUGGAAAUAAAUUGUAAUUUGGAGCCAGUUCUCAUCAGAGGUAGAAAAUAAUCCAUUUGUCACAUUUUGGCAUAAAGUGUGCCAAAUUGUGCCAAACUGAGUCCUCGCCUGGGUGUACCCUUACAAAAACCUUCAUGUAGGCUUUACUGUUUGCCCGAAUUCUAUCAAAUUUGGUACAUUUGUGGUCAAGGAGUGGAUGAAGUUAAUCAAUGGCAUCUGGGGGCCUGGAAUCAUUGCCAGCACUGUGUUUUCCCCUGUCAAAAAAAGAAAACAUUUUGGCAAGGGUAAAAAAACGUAAUUUUUCCUCUGAUUUAUUCCAAUUUACUCAGGCAUAAUGACAGAUAAAACACUUCUGACACAUUCUCUGAAGUCUCUAGAUGUCCAAGGACACCAAGAACAUGCAUAUAACCUUUAGUAAAGUGUAGUAAUUCCUCAUUUACUUUGGGUAUGUCUUUUAGCCGUUUUUUUUCCUUAAAAUAUGCUUAGGGCCGAAGGGGGUAUUGUGCACAAUUACAUCUGAAAAGAAGGGUGGAAUAUGACAGAGGAGAGAGCAUGUAGGAGGAUAAAGGAAAUGGCGACAUAUCCUUCUUCAGUUUUAUCAAUAUAAAUACAUUUUUUUCUCCUAUAUACUUUGAAGCACAUUCUUUAGAUCUGUGCUACCCUUGCAUAUAUGUAGAAAGGUUGUAGACUGUUGAAAAAGCACCAGCAAAACAAAAGUUUAGCUUAUAAUACUUGGAUCUGCAAUCACAGAGCCCCUGACACGAUCAGCUGCAAUACACCUUAUGUUUAACUUUUUUCAGACAUUUCAGCUCUAGUAGCUCCUCUGUUGGCUCAGACCACCAAGACAAGCCCACGCUCCUCUUGCAGGGAGAACCUUGCAUAAUUUAGCAAGGUAAUGCCACAGAAUAUUUGCAUCUAUAACAACAGCAUAUCUUCAUGGUAGAAGAGUCCCAGUGAUAAACUGCCCUGCCUGUGACAAAAAAAGAUAAACCAGACAACAGUUGAGCAAAUAAAAAUUGUAUAUUGGAAGAGAAAGGCGGAACAUUUAACUUCAACAUGAAAUAGACUGGUCUUCCCAGUUUACAGUGUGUUGUUUAAAGAAGAGGUGACGCAUCAAAACAUGCUCCAGCCCAGGGAUGGGGAUCACUAACUGGAUAUGUAAAAUACCUAAUCAAGCAUCAGCCAGAACCCAAAGAUCAAUAAUGUUUGAGCUUAUCAAGUCUGCUAUUGUGUCCCAAUGGUCUUGUGAAGAAUGGGCUUUGACUUAAGUUGUAUCAUGUUAAUUAAAUCAAUGGACCGCAUUAAUUGACUGUCAAAUCACAUUCUAGAACCUGAGCUCAACCUAGUGGCAGCAAAGUCUGGUCUCUGUAAAUUUUCUGCAAUUUUUGCUUUAUUUUUUCAUAUUUUAUUGUGUUUUGUCAGCUGCUGAUGGAUAUUUCUGCUGGGAGAAUAGUUUACUCAAGAGAAGAGCUUCUUUCAUUGAGACAGGAAAUACCUGGACAACCACAUCUAAUCCCAGAGGACAUCAGGAGGCGUUAUAGGGGUUGCCAUGCUGGAGCACAGGUAUAGGCAAGGUUGAAUGCUAGGACAUAGAGAUAUAAACCCUUUUUUCAGCAGUCAUCAUGGGAGACAUCAACUAAAGCAACACAAUGGAGAUAUCGGUAAAGACUGAAAAAGUUUAACGUGAGUGCAGUCUCCAAAUGAGUUUGUACAACUAUUUCAAAAUGAAAGUAGACAAAGGAAAUCUCUCAAACAUAUGUAAAUGAUUGCAGAAGACCAAUAUUGUAGAUAAAAAGAUAAGAGAAAAGUUGGCAAAUGAUUUAGAAAUCAAUAUCCCAGCUGAUGAGUGGAGAGACAGCUUACAGUCUUAAUACUGGACAGAGUUUGCAUGGAAAGUAAGCAUGAGGUACUUCAUCUCUCCUUAGCAAAUAUUUUUUGCGCACAGACUCCAGCUGUUGGAAGGGAUGUGGGAAACAGGAGGCAAGCUACACUCAUAUUUUAUUUUUAACUGUCUGGCAUUAGUAAGAUUCUGGAGUGAGGUUGAGAAAGCCUGUACUGUUGUAUUUGAGCUAUAUGAACAUCUUAAGAUAGAAACAUUUUUGGGAAUUAAUGUAACAGAAAAAAUUAACACAGCUGACAUACAUCUUUUUAAUAUUUUCUGAGUGACAGCUAUUAAACAGGUGACAAGGACAUGGAAACAAAAAAAACCCACCCAAACUCAUUUUUUGGUUAACAACAUUAGAGCAGACUUUAGAAGCUGAAAAAUUAACAUAUGAAAUAAGAGUUAAUAUAACAAAAUUAAAUAAGAUGUACCCCAGAGAAAGACUUGGCAGACUGUAUAAUUUAAGGGGAUUUCUACCUACAGAGCACAACUUUCUGGUCUUUCUAGCAUAGUUAACACAACACAAGGUUAGGGUUCUCAGCCAAAAAGUUUCUCACCCACUGCAAGGAACUAAGUAAAAGAUUGUGUUUUGUUAAAUAAAGGGAGAAAAAAAACUUUGAGGAUGUGAGGUGUAAAAAGAUGUAUACCUUAGGAAUUUAGAGUAAACCCGAAAGAUAUGUGUAGCAGAGUGAUGAUAGUUUACCCCUGGCCUUGCAGGGACAACAAAUGUGACCUUACUGUCAGAGUCAAUUUAGUUUUUGGAUGGAGGUUGCAGAGGAAGGAACGUAAAAGCUGGGAGAGAAAAAGCAGUAAAAGGAAUAGGAGGAGGUGUGUGGAAUUCAUAUUGCAGCAGCCCUAUUUAGUUGACCUUGGUAUGAAAUGACAGAAACAAAUUGUUUCUGAUUCUCGCCUCUCCUCUCAUCUGCUCUCCCUGUAAACCCCCCACCGCCAGAUUCCCCUCCUCCUUUUUUUACCUUUCCAUUUCUGCAACACUUAUCUGACAUAACUUAAUUGUUAGUCAUUUUAACAGAAGGCUUUCAUUUUUUCCAGUUUCUCUCCUUCCCCUCCACCUUUUUUCCCCUUUAGAAUCUGUUUCUCUUUCAUUUUCCCUCCCCUUACCUUCACUGUCAGCCCUCUUAUUCUGCCUUCAUCUCCUCUGCUCCCCAACCCUUUCCUUCUUGUCAUGUGCUUAUAAACCCAGACAGUUCGGGCCUUGAGGCACUCCACAUAUUGACCUCAUGGUGGUACUUUUUUAUUGGAUUAAGUAGUUGGUCCAAUAUUGCCAGGUUACAAUCUGUAUUUUGCCCACAAUUGUACAUGCAUGGCUGUUCAAGUUUUGCAGCUAAAGUAGGAUAUAGCGAGUGUGGAAAAUGCAAAGGUAACUGCUAUUAAUCCAAUAUAAAUGUACAGCAAGAUUGUGAGUUUUUUUCUAAUAAAUUUUUCAAACUUUUUUUUUUGGAAAUCAAAUGGUUUUGCUUUUAGUAGGACUAGUGCAAAUGUAAAGCUGAAGCAAUCUGUUUACCUUACGGUGUCUUUUGAUGGCAGUUCAAACUGAAUUAGUCAAUGAAAAUGUCUGCAUUUUCCACUCCUCUCUAUGUUUUUACUUCAUUUUUAUUUGUAGGCUCAAUGGUGGUUAUGGGACCCUCAGCCACCCACACCUUCUGAUUGUCCUGCAGUUUCGCCUACUAAUGGGGUGUCCAGGGCUUCAGCCAUCUUGGUAAGUCUCUGAUUCUCAGUAUUUUCUGGUUGAAGUUACACUAAAUCAGCUGAUGCUUGUGUUUUUCCCUUCCUCCACCACCUGCUCCUACCUUACAACUACCACCACCAUCACUGCCAUCUUAGUCCUCGCCUGUGGUGCAGAUGACAUGGAAGAGAAACUGGAGAGGAUGCUUCUCUAGGGGCCAGAGGUUAAUGUCUCUUUUAAGGUGCAUCCCCUUGGAUAGGGAUAUGUCCUCCUUGUCCUUGUCUUGCCCCUCUUCCACUGAUCUGUCAAUAUAUACUAUGUGAUGUAAAAUGUGAGGAAGGGUCAGCUGCCUCUGAGCUGUGGAAUAGCUGUAAUGACCCUGUUCCCAAAAAACCUGCACAGCAUGAAGAACCAGUGCUCAGUGGCUCUACUCUGCACUGAUUACUAGAUCCUUUCCAAAGCCCCGGCAAGCAGAUUGAAGAAGGUGAUGAAGCAGCUCAUACAUCCCAGACCUACUGUGUACCUGGCAGGUUAGGUAUAGACAACAUAUAUAUUAAUUCAUGAAGUUUUGGACCUCUCUAGCUCAUUAGAUGUAGAUUUUGGUCUUAUUUUCAUAGACCAAGAACAGGCGUUUCAUUGAGAUAAACAUUCAUAACUGCAGAAAACAUUAGCAGCGUUUUGGUUCAGCUCAGGUCUUAUGGCUUAGAUCCAAGCAUUCUAUAGAAACAUUAAUGGGAAAAACCCACAAGAUCCGAAAUGGCUCCGCUUCGGCACGGCACGGCAGGCGGAUCAAAUACACAAGCAUUAUAAUCAAUGUGUGUCAUUCCACAGAAUCUGUUCGCCAUCCGGCUCCGCUGCGGAUAUGCAAGAUAUCAGAUAAGCAAGGUUUCUACUUUUGCCAGACAUCGGAGCACUGCGCAUCAAUUCAGAGCAGCGCAGCAUGAGCAGCAGCAGAAGUUGUAUGCAGCUACAGAGUAAAAUUUCUGGUUAAUUUUCAAAAUAAAAUAAAGUCAAUACAAUUGAAAUGUUCUUAACUUGAUAAUAGGACAGGCCAGGGUUGUGGGAUGCAGGUCUUUUCAAGCACCUUUCAUGAGAUCUUGUCCAGUCUGGUGAGAAAUAUCAGUAAUCUUGCAGGCGCUUCUCCUCCGAUGAUGGCGGUGGAUUGGAUCCGGUGGGCACUGUAAGCUUGCGUAUCUGAUUUGCCUGCUGGUCCGGAGCAGAAUGGAGCCGUUCCGGAUCCAGUGGGAUUCCCAGGUAAGAGUGUACUUGAAGUUAAUAGUGGUUAAGGUGCUCCUUUUAAAGUAGGAAGGGGUGUCAAGGCAGGACUGUCUGUCAGGAAUGCUCCACUCUCUGGCUAUAGCACCCCUCCUUCACAGAUUUAGACAAGGGGCUCUAUUUUUGUGCUGUGCCGGAGACGUGCCGCAGGCGCGGCUAAAGUCAGGUCUGCCGUGCCGACAAGGCAUUCCCAAGCACAAUUUGGUAUUUUUUUGAGCGUUGCAGCCCGGCGUACGUAUCCCCACUCCUUAACUCAGCUCAUUCCAGCGGCGUAAGUUGUAGUGAGGAAGGAGAGAGGGCGUUGAGUGGGUUUAACACAGCCGAGACCUGUAUUGACCAAUAACAUCAGCUCCUCUCUCCUUACCUUUAAAUCCGCCACUGGCGAGGUGUAUUAUAAUUUUUGUGAAGUAGUCAAAGGGAAAAAGGGAAGUCUGAAGACAGUAAUGCCACCUGAUGGCGACAGAAGGCAGCCCCUCAACAGGUGUCACUGUCAACGCUGCAGAGGGUGUCCUUCACACUCUCUCAUAUCAGCACAGAUGGAUUUGGUGUGUUUAAGUUUGGACCCACUUGUAAGACAAACACCCUUUUCCACAAAUAAAGACACUCACAUAAAGUUGCAUAUAUUCAAACCUCACGUGACAAAGGUGGGUUGUGCGCACAGAUCACAUUAUAAACUCCAAAAAUGGCAGUAAAAUCGGAACCAUCUGUGCAUCGCGCUCCGUGGCCUGGCUCUUUCUUUCAUAGAUGUUGGCAUAUAAAACAAAUUUGGCUCACAAAACUGAAUAUUAUAAUAUUCUUAUGUAGGCUUAACGUAAAUAACUCAUCUGAUCACUGAAACAAAUCAUCUGUCAGGACGGGGAGAGGACACGGAGACAUGUCCAGGUCGAGCUGCGCGAGAAAUAAGAGGAAGAGGAAGAAUAAAAAGGGAGGGAGACAAUUUACAUAUCUUGUUAACUUCAUUAUGUGUGUCUACUUACUAGAUAUUAAAUUUAAUUUAAUGCGGUUUCAGCUGUGUUGAUUCGGUCAGGUUGAGUGUCCAAACGCGUGCCAAACAGGCUCAUCAGAAUCAGAUAUAGAUCAGAAUAUAUCUAUAUAGAUCUAAACAUAUGUGCUGACUCAGAUUAUUAGUUGUUGAUGAUUAUUUAUUGCACUGAAAUGUGCCUGACACUGCGAAAACCUUCCGGUGUGGCAUCAGUGAGGUAUGCCGAUACGCCGCCGGUCUACCAAAAUACCUCUAGACCAGCUGCGCUCCGCCUGCGCUGAAAGCUGACCAGGUGUGAAUCGAUGAGCUUUAUACGCCACUGGCGAGCACGAAAAUGUCACUGCGCCAGCUGAUCCUGUCGACACCUCCCCCUGCCUCACCACCACGCCCAGCUCGGCGAAUCUUGGUGCUCCUCAGUCCACGAAAAUACCAAACUGGCUGUACGCUGGGCUCCGCCAGACAAAAAUACCCCGCUCUGAUUGGAUCGCUGCUGUGAAGCCUGCUGUGCUCUGAUUGGCUCAGCAGUGGAGGUUCAGAUUUCGGUUUAUCCAUUUUGCUAAUGUGUGCUAAAGUAAGGUGCCCAGAUGUCUGUAAUGAUAUCCGGUGCGGCGGCAGUGGGUGCAGGGGCUGCAGGGGCUGUGUGAUCACAGACAAAAUCUUGGUACUAUUUAGUAGCAGCGCAUGCCCCUUGUAAUAACUCCCGUAAGAACUGUUGUUCAGGACUGCUUACUUGUGCUUCCUACCUAUUCGGCUACUGUAAUAACCGUUGUUCCAGCCCACACACAACAUUUUUGCUCUCAUUCAUGAAACGCUUAAAUCGGGGACAUUUUCGGGGACAGCUUUUGCCGGGGACAGGUCAUCCAAUACGGGGACUGUCCCCGGAAAUCGGGGACGUCUGGUCACCUUAUGCUAAAGGCUAAAAAUGGCAGGUAUUAAACCAUAUAUUUUAGGACCCGGAGUCCGAAGAGGAGGUGGAAGUUGAAGAAGAAGCCAGAGAUCUCCAGCGGUGUUUUCUCAUUCAUUCUGCCCAGCUUUAAGUUCCUGGCAGUGAACCCAAGGAAACACCGGUCGUUUGGAAGAGACCCAUGGCAGAUACAGUGGUAGCUGGGCCUCGCUCUGGCUGGAGAGUGAUGUUGACUGUAAAUGAGUACGAGAACGAGAGAGUGGGCACGGC
RNAcentral lists this long non-coding RNA (72128 nucleotides) under Xyrichtys novacula (pearly razorfish). The record is from RNAcentral. Lineage: Eukaryota; Metazoa; Chordata; Actinopteri; Labriformes; Labridae.